This 70931-nucleotide long non-coding RNA is filed under the name Gossypium barbadense (sea-island cotton). RNAcentral's name for it is "long non-coding RNA (GBAR_LNC017850)". The record is from RNAcentral. Lineage: Eukaryota; Viridiplantae; Streptophyta; Magnoliopsida; Malvales; Malvaceae.
ACCGAUCAAGUUUGACAAAGUUGGAAUCCAACUCCCUUAGUGUUCCACUUUCAUGUGUUGUGGCAGUCAUCAUGAAAUAUAACCUUAAAUCUGUUAGUUCAAAUCCCCGGUAAGGAAAAUCUCAAACACACGAACGGGACUUGAACAGAAAAAAAAAAAGAAAGAAAUAGGACAAGGCUCCAAGGCGUGUAUCAAGCCACUACCUUUAAGGUUAUAUUCGCCCCCACCUAUCUUCGGUGUGCAAAUGGGUUCCAAGCAAAUUAACCUCGAGGAUACAAUAAAGCCAAUGACUAUUUGCGUUUUGCAUUGACGAGAAUAGUCCACUACGCACUGAGCAAUGUAUAACAAAAACUCAAUUUCUACAAAAGAUUUCUGUAGUAAUACUUUAUAGAAUAAUCUAAUAAUAUUAAAAAAUAAAGGAAGAAAGAAAGAAUAUUAGAAUUUGUUGGUGUGUUUUCCAAAUGAAAUCUUAUUCCUAUUUAUAAAAAUUUUCAUAUUUCUUCAUAGAGACAUCUUUAAUCAAUAGUUGUCUUUCUGAAUAAUAAUGUCUUUAAAAUAAACACAUAAUUAUUCAUUUAAUAUUAUAACUAUUCAAAUAAUAUUAUUUAAAUAGUUAUAAUUCUUUUUUAAAAAAUUAAAUAAUAUAAUCUUUUAAUUAAUUAUACCUAUUUAUUUAUAGUUAUUAAAACACUGAUGACCUUAAAAAAGGCUGCUGAAAACGUGGAUGGUAAAUCCAUUUCCAAUAUAUAUUUUUCUUGGAUUUUAUGUACGGUGGUGGGAGUGGAAGGCCCACACCUUACCAUCACUAUGUUAUCGUAAUAUUCUUUAAUUAUUUUAUCGCAAAUUAUAUAAUAUCAAUUUGGUCCCCCACAAGUUUGGCAAUUAUUUUUUUUCCUUUUGAUAACUUUUACAAAAUUUCUCUGAGACUGAGACUGACCCAAAAGUGUAAGGAGAAAGCAGGAGGGCCGUGGCGGCGGUCAUUAAAAUUAGUGAGAGCCUAUUUUAUGAUGUCUAACCCAUGAAAUGGGUGAUGGGCUUUCGUCUUCUAUCAAUAUGGCAAUUCCAUUCCCAUGCUAUUUAACUUAUCCAGCCAUUGCUACAAUGAUAAUUUAAAGACUCACAACCAUCUUUAUAAUUAGAUAUGUUUGGAUAUAUUCAUACGUGAGGCCUAUUUAUAUGUUUAUCUAACUAUCUCAAUCCCUUGGUUUAUGCACUAUACUAAUUAUUUUUGUUGUAAUUAUAGGGAUAUUUUUAAAUAAUAUGUAUUUAUACUAUUAUUUAAGUACUUUAUUGAGUUAAUAUCAUCUUUAAUCGAAUCACCAAUUUAGUUAUGGAAUUUAAUAUAUACUUCUUUUAAUAUUUUUAUGAUAAUAUUUUUAUCUUUUCAUAUUUUUAUAAAAGAAUUAUAAACUACAAAUUCAAAUAUUGAACAUAUGUUGAAUAAUAUUAAAAUACAAAUUUUAUUAUAUGAGAUAAAAUUUAGUACUAUACUAUACCAUUAUAAAUUGCAAAUAUGAAUGGAAGAGAACGUUGAUUUCAUUUCAGUGGUAAAUGGUGAUCACCGAGUCUAACAUGUUACUAUGUUUGGAGAGAUUGGUUGGGUGGCACUGUUGAUUGAUGUAUAGCUAUAGCUUUGAUGGGUUUAUUUUCCAACAGUAUAAAUAAUAAAUGGAACCCUAUGAUAUAUCUUUAUCAACUAUCUUUUCCCCCCAAUCACUUUUUCAGCUUCGGCAAAACACAUUUUCAUGACAAAGACCUAAUCUUUUGCAUCUUUGCCUCUUUUUUCUAGUGAUUAUAAUUUUACAAGUCCAAAUCUUUUCAACCAUGCCCUGCCCCCUCAUAAAAUCAUACAUAUUUUAGCUUAUAUUUCUACUGCCAAUUACUUUCUUUUGUUUCUAUAUGUAAUUCAGUUAAUUUCAAAAUAAUAAAUUGAAAUUUGGUUGCCUACAAAAUUAAUAACAUCUUAUUUAUUUUACUUAAAACAACUUUCUCAAAAUAAUUUCUAAAAAGUAGAUUUUUUUUUUUGCAAAAACUAAUAAUUAUUUGUAUGUUUGGAUUAUUCUAUAUAAAAUAUUUUAUGUUAUUUGAUAAAAUUUUCUAAAAUCAUUUUUUUAAAUUUGUUUUCAAUGAAUUAUUUCCCUAUAAGAACCGAAGUUUAUUUUAUAAUAAGAUAAUAUCUUAUAAUAACUUAUAUAGACUUAAUAAUAACCAAUGCUUAAAUUUUAAUUUGAAGUUAUAAAUAUUAUAUAUGCUAGUUUUUUUUCUUGUGUGAUGCACGAAUUAAUUUUAUUUAAUAUAAAUAUAUAUUUAAUUUAAAAAUGAUAAUCAAUAACAUUUGUUCUUGAGAAAAUUUUUUUUAUAGUAAUCCAUAAAUACUUUUUUAUAUAUUUAAAAAAAAUAAAAAUUCAUAAUUUAAAUUUUGGAGAAAAGUUUAAUUUUGUAUAAUAAUUUUUUAAAAAAUUAAUUAUUAAAAUAGUAUUUAAUGUAUUAUUAAUUUACAAAACCUUUUAGAAUUAUGUUUUUUGGAAGAAAAUUUAUAGAGAAUAUUUUUUAAAUUAAAAGUGAUGAUGUAAAAUAAAAAUUUGUUUUUAAUUUGAUUUUAUGAAAAAUUUUAUGGAUAAAUAAUUAAAAUAUUUAUUAAAAUUAAAAAUAUUAAAAUAAAAAAAUAUGUAGAAAAUAAUUUUUUAAAAUUUACUUUGUAAAAUAAUUAUGGCAUGGAGGAAAUUUUAACUCUUACCUUGACUUUGUAAAAAGACAUUUUCUAAAAAGCUUUUUCUAAAAUGUUGAAUAAUAUAAAUUGUAAUACCCCCUACCCAUAUUCGUUGUCGAAAUAGGGUAUGAGGCAUUACCAGAUUUUACCGAAUAAAUUUUUCGCAAAAUCCCAAAAAAAAUUUUUUAACUCAAUAUAACCCCUUUAUAAGUAUCUAAUCUUCCCUGCAAUUUUAAACCGAGACCAAUCCAACACAACCAAUCCAUUUCUACAUAUUUUCAAGAUAGAUUUAACGUAUUCAUAAGAUAACCUCAUCACAUACCAAAACCAAAACUUGGUAGCCAUACCAAUGGCUAACCAUACAUUCAUUUCACAUUAACAUUUACUUUACUAGCUUAUACAUGCCAUUGAUUUUCAAAAUAAAGUUUCUUUAUAUAUCGAGAUCUUGAGGUUGAUAGUGUGAUGCGUCUCAGACCAAAUCCGACCUCCGAGCUCUUAACACUACAAAACAGGGGAAAAGGAAACAAGGUAAGCACUUUGUGCUUAGUAAGCUCAUGUAACAAGAAUUAUACUUACCUAAUAUUUUUAAUACAGUGAAAUAAACAUUCAUACAUCCAUUCAAUACAUUAUUCCCCUAACAUGCACAAACUCAACAUUUAAGUUAGUUCAAUAAUUCCAUGUAUCAAUAAUAUAUAUAUCACGAUUGAUGAGCUCAUCAAUACCAUGAUUUUCAUUCCCUUGUUAUUUUUUCAUAUUUAUCCCGUUGAACUUCUCGGAAUUUCGAUGAAUUUUCAGGGGUACACUUUAGUGUACAAAUCUGGGUUCGUCAAUUCAUAUUCAUGUGCGCACAUUUCCAUUUCAGAGAGCACACUCCCGCGAACCUCAUCCUUACAGUGGGAUUACCUGUCCAGGCUAAAUCCCCUGUAAUAUAAACUCAUAGAGUAUUGUCGGGAUUACCAGUCCAGGCUAAAUCCCUGCAACGACAAUUACUCUAAUGAGCUUGGAUCUGAAUUACCAGUCCAGGCUAAAUUCAGACCCUAAUUCGGAUUACCCGUCCGGGCUAAAUCCAUUUUCCACAUAUUCUUCGGGAGGACUAUAUCAGGAUAGGAUCACCCGUCCGGGCUAGAUCCUUUUUACCGUCAAUUCCUUUUCAGAGAUCCAUCAAAUUUUCCUUUCAUUCAACCGGGAUUUAUUUUCUCUUUUCAUCAAGAAUAUCAAUACUUCAUCAAUUAUCAUACAAUAAACAUCCAAAUCAUAUUCACAUCAAGAAAAAUAUAUUUCAAGCAUUUAAGAAUAUAAUUCAAGUUACACGAACUUACCUCGAUACUUGUUCGUAAACAAAAAUCUACUAAUCCCGAACUUUUUCUUUUCCUCGAUCUAGCUUCGUAUUUGAAUUUUCUGGAUCUAAAUAAAUAAAUUUAACCACUAAUCUAAUACAUUUCAUGCUCAUAUGUAACAUUCUCUAUAAUUCCAUUAUUAUUUAUAGUGCAUUCAAAGUUGUUUCAUUGAGUCAUAGUCACUAAAUUAUUUAUAUCUUGAGCUACGGAACUCCAAAUUAAGAUCCGCUAAUUUUAUACAAAACUAGACUCACAUAUCUUCUAACCAUAAAAAUUUCAGAAUUUUUGGUUUAUCCAAUAAGUACAUUUUAUUCUUUAAAGUUUCCCCUAUUUCACUGUUUGACACUUCCGACCCCUCUUCACUAAAAAUUAAUUAUCUUAUUGUACAGAAUUCAGAUGAUGUUCUCGCUUGUUUAUUUUGAAAAUAGACUCAUUAAGUAUUUUAAAUAUAUAAAUUUAAGCCCCUAAUUAUUUUUAUCCAAUUUUUUAUUAUUUUCCAAAGUCGGAGUAGGGGAACCCGAAUUCAUUCUGACCUUGUCUCACAAAAUCUAUUAUAUCUCAUGAUUUACAAUUCCAUUGCUUACAUCGUUUCUUUUAUAAGAAACUAGACUCAAUAAGCUUUAAUUUAAUAUUUUGUUCAUCCUAUAAUUCGAUCUCUACAAUAUUUGGUGAUUUUUCAAAGUUAGACUACUACUGCUGUCCAAAACUGUUUUAGUACAUGAUGUUAAUUACCAUUUUUCCCUAAGCUUUCAAUAAAUGAUAAUUUCAUCCCUACUCAAUUAACCUCUCAAUUGAGCUGAUUUUUCUCAAUUAACACUUUAUCCCAUCACUUUAAACUACUUUAUAACCUUUGGAAAUCAUAAUUUUAGCACUAGACUUUAAUUCCAAACCUUUUCACAAUUAGGUCCUACAAAUCAAUUUCUAUUGAAAUUACCUAUUAAAAUCAUCUCAUAAACAAAUUAAAGCUUCAAUUUCAUGCUAUUUCAUCAUAAACUUCCAGCACAAAUUCAUAGCAACUUUCAAUUUCAUUCAUAAAAUCAAAAACUAAUGAAUUUAGUAAUAGGACCUAGUUGUAGAAGUCUUAGAAACACAAAAACUACAAGAAAAAUGCAAGGAUUAACUCACUUUGUGCAAAAAUUAUGAAAAACCAGCUUGAAUAAACCCUUAGGACGUUUUUGGCUUAUGAGAAUGCAGAAAAUAAAGAGAAUUCUAGAUAUUCCAAUUUGGUCUUAUUUUUAUGUUAGUAAAAUUUAUUAUUUUCCCAUUUUACCCUUAUUUCACCAAUUCUCCUGAUUUUUCUUAGCUUAUGCCGCCCAAAAUAUAUCUUUUUGGGCUUAUUUAUAAUUUAUGUCCCUCCUCAUUUAACGAUUGAGCUAUUUAAUCCUUCUAGUAACUUUUACACCUUUUUCAAUUUAGUCCUUUUCACUUAAUUGACUACCCAAAUAUUAAAAUUUUCUAACGAAAUUUUAAUACCAUAUUACUAACACUUCAUAAAUAUUUAUAAAAAUAUUUCCGACUCGGUUUUACGAGACCGAGGUCUCGAUACCUUGUUUUUACCCAAUUUCUUCAAUAAUUUCUUUUUCUAACUAACCACUAAAUCGGUAAAAUUCUUCUAUUUAUAUUUUCAUACGAUUUUCCUAUCAUAUCAAUAUUCAUACAAAAAUAUUAAAAUAAAUUUAUCUUUAAGUCAGAUUUAUGGCUACGAAACCACUGUUCCGAUAACCUUGAAUUUAGGCCAUUACAUAAAUGUAUAAAUCAUAUUAUUUAUUCUUAUUUUAAAAAUGUUUAAUAAUAUAAACGUAUAUAUUUAUUGUGAGAAUUUUGGUUCAGUAUAAGUAGAAUUGUUCAUGGGUGGGGUCGGAUACGGGUUGGGUCUUGAUCAAAAGUUUGGCUUGUUUGAUAGGCCUGAGUUUGGUCCGUUCCAAAAAAAUGGACCUAAAAUUUUUUCCAAGGUCGGCCCGGAUAAAAAUGCUAAAACUAGGAUCAGGCUCGCCCAUAUUAAAAUUUUUAUAUAAUUUCUUUUAAAAAAUAUAUUAUAUCAAAACACUAAAAAUAUUAAGAUAAAUGUUUCCCAACAAAUUGAAAUAAAUUUAAUAAAAAAUCAUUAUACUUAAAUAAUACUAAGAUAGGUGCAACUUAACAAGCAAAUGUCUCUAAAAUAGUAGCAAAAUUCACAAUAAAAUAAGAGUAACACAAUAUCCAAACAAUAACAACAAAAUACUAGCAACAUAAUAGUGAAAUGGCAGUAAAAUAGUGAGAAAACAACAACAAAACAGUGAGAAAUAGUAAGAAAAUAAUAUACUUAUUUGCAAAUUUGGGUCGGGCUCGAGCUAAAAAAGCCUUACCCAAGGCCCGACCCUUUUUCUAAACGAGUCUUAUUUUUUGCCCAAUCCCAUUUUUCGAAUCUAUAUACCCAAACUCACUCACUUUUCGGGCGGACCUUUGGGUCGGGCCAAGUAACUCGGCCCAUAAACAGUUAUAAGUAUAAGCGAUAUUAUUAAAUCAACUUUGUAAAAAACAUUUUUUUAAACUAUUGAAUAAUAUAAAUGUAUACAUUUAUAAAUUAACUUUUAUAAAAUAAUUAAUCGUGGGUCUUAAUUGAUAUUCUAAAGUUAUAAUUAAUGAGUUAUUAAAAAAUAAGAGUUGUUAAAAUUACACCUAAUCCACUAAAACUAUUUUCCAUUUUUAAGUCUACUUUCCUUCUUUGUUUGAAAACAUUGCUAUAGAUUAUAUAUAGGUUUAAUAUUUGUUUUGGUAUCUGAGGGUCUGUUUGAUUGGCAGUAAAAUGUUUUCCGUAAAAUGAUUUCUGGAAAAUGUUUUACUUUUCUGUAAAAUGACUUACUAGAAAAUAUUUUCUAGUGUUUGAUUGAAUCUGUGUAAAAUAUUUUCUGCUGUUUGACAGAUUUCCUGAAAAUAUUUUCCAGAAAAGUUGUUUUUUACAUAUAUUAAUAUAUAUUAAUAAAUUUUUAUAUUUUAAAUUGUUUUUACAUAUAUUGCAAUGAUUUAUUUAUAAUAAUACUCAAUAAUAAGCUACAAUAUAGAUCGUUAUAAAUUGAAAAAAUAUUAUCCACAAUGAGUACUAGUAAGAAUAUUGAAUAAUUAUAAAUUGCUUCGAAACCAUAAUGAGUACUAGAAAUAAUAUUAUCCAAAUACAUAAUUAGUAGUAUACUACAUAGUAACAACAUUGUCCAAGUGCAUAAUAUUACACCACAUAAAAGUAUCAAUAUCUUCAACCCUGAGAAAAUUUUUGAAGCCAAAUUUUUCUAUGCUUCUUACUUUUAACUAAAAACAUUUUGGCCUCUGAUUCAUGACUCCCUAGAUAAUCAAACACAGAACACAAGAAGUCAUCAUCAAAUCCUUUUUCCUCCAUCAACAUCACUUGUUCGUAAAGCUGUGCUGUCUUGUCGGCAGUAAAUUGUUUCAAAGCAUUAGCAAUUUCGCCAAGUUGCUCACCCACAAAUUUAAUUUGUUCAUCAACGAGACUUUCUUGACCACUUUUUCUUUUACGUUUGGAUGUGCUAGAUGAAGAUACAUUUGUUCUUACCUCUUCAGCCUCUUCAUUGUCGCAGUCUACAGGCAUUGAAUCUUCAUUACCAUCAUCCAAAAUCUAUGUCAGCAAAUGUUCUGGCAAAACUCCCUGUUGCCAUAUCUUUGCCAACAACCACAGCCAUUUCAUCAUAAUGAUCAAUGCUUUUAUUCAAAAAUGGUUCAUACUUCUUGUGUGCCUGUUGGAUAUUAUACACAAUUAGAAUAACAAGUAAAAAACAAUUGAAAUGUACUUAACAUAUAUAUACAUAUAUUACCAUCACAGUUGCAUCGUAUGUCGCUCUAUCACAUGUGAUCAUUUUCAUGUUAUCAUCCCAUCCAAAACCACUUUCACCUCGAAUUUUGCAUAUAAUCUGCCACUGGUUUUUUACUGUCCUCAAAUGAUUUUCCACGUGCUUCGUAUCGCAUUGGACUUGGGAUCUUUCAGAAAUGGCGUCGGUAACUUGAUUAAUAGAAACUGAUUUGAAAGUAUUAGAAGGCUUAUUUCCUUUUUGAGCCUCCUCUGCUAAAAUUUCAAGGAAAACAUGUUCCAUCGGUUUUGUCCACUUGAAUUGCUUGGAGGUCCCUUCUUUGUUGCCCUUACCCAUUCUACAUUAAAUAAUUGUCAUUGUCAAUAAUUUCAAUAUCCAACAAGCUUAAAACAUAAUAAUCAAUUCAAUAUCCAACAAUGUUAAAACAUAAUCAAUAUCUAACAAAUUCAAGACAUAUAUCAAAAUCCAACAAUCUAAAAUUUCAAUAUCAUUAUCCAACCAACAUUUACAAAAAAAAAACAUCAGUCUAAAACAUACAUAACAUAGAAACAAUAACCCUAAGCCCUAAAUCUACCUAAUAUUUCUAGCCAUAUAAUCAGUCCACAUAGUUUGUGCAAUCUCAUCUCUCUUAGCAGACCAUUCUCUUGCUUCUUGUCUUUCUUCUCGCUCCAUGAGAGUUUGUAUUAUCGAAUCAAACUCAGGCUCCUCGUAUAAUCCUUGAUUAAGUAAAUCACUAGGAUCAACUCCCAUUAUAUGAUUAUGAAUGAUACAGCAAGCCAAAACUAUAUCUACUUGAGUUUGAAAAUUCCAAAAUGGUUCAGCAUCUAAUACACGAAACCGUUUCUUCAAAAUCCGAAAAACACGUUCAACAGUGAUCCGUAAUGAUGAAUGUCGAAGAUUAAAGAGUUCCUUUGCAUUUUCAGGCCCUUCAGCACCAAACUCUUUUAAAUGAUAUCGGACACCACGAUAUGGGGUAAUACAUCCAAUUCGGAUGCCAUAUCCAGCAUCAGCAAGAUAAUAUUUACCUACAAUUUUACAAUACGUAAUUAAUACUGAUAAACUAUGAGCUUACUGGAACUAUUUGUGAUAAAUAUUACCUUCUGGAAUUCUUAAUCCUCUUGGGCGUGAAAGUGCAUCACUUAAAAUACGAGAAUCAUGUGCACUAUCUUCCCAACCAGCUAGAACAUAGGCAAUUUCAAAUCAAAUGUAAUGGCAGCCAAUACAUUUUGUGUCAUCCCCCCUUUACGGCUACGAAAUCUUCCUUGCAUGCUAAGUGGAACAGAUGCACGAAUAUGAGUUCCAUAUAAUGCUCCAAUACAAUCUUUAAAAUAAGGAUAAAACCUUGGAUUGUUUCUAAUUUCACUAGGAGUUGACUCAUCAGGUAAUCUAAUAACUAGUCUAUACAAUUUCAAAAUAGCUCUCAAUAUAACCCUAAAGUAAUGGUGAACUAUCUGAAUUGAUCUAUAAUAUCUAGAUCCAAUCACUCGAAACCUUACAUUAUGACCAAUUAUAUGUAAAAAUAUAACUACUUGCUCCCUAAUAUCGACAGAUUUAGACGAUUGUAACAAAUUAUUCGUACUAAGAAUAUCACAUAAAUUAAAAAAGGCAAUCGGUCUCAUCAUUAUUAUAUCAAUGCAAUGCUGGUCACCACUAUAUAAAAUACUAUUAAUAUAGUUUUCUCUUUCAUAAUCUCGAUUCACACGACGGCGAGAAGCAAUUUUCUUCCUAGUUUCUAAUUUUUUAAUCCAAAGAGCCCUAAAAGCUAAAACUGAAGCCACGACCCCGGCAAUUGCCAUUUGAUGUUGAUUACGAUCCAUCUACACAAAAUAAUGCCACACAAAUAUAUGAUCACUAGUACAAAAGAUACAAGAUUUUCAUAAGAUCACAUAAAGUUACCAUGACUAAAAAAGUGCAUACAUACAUAUCAAGCUAAUUAUAAUUGCCCAAUAAUAAUUUUUUUUAAAGUAGCACUUAAAAUAUAUUGAUCAUAGUUAAUACAAUACUUCAAUUGGUGCAAGAGUUUGUUAUAUAUUAUUAGGUUAUCUUUCAUGUAAAAAUAUAAAAUAUUUUUAUUAUUUAAGUUACCAUGACUUAAAAUAUAUUGAUCAUGUAUUUAUAAAGUUACCAUGACUUAAAAUAUAUUGAUCAUAGUUAAUAAUAUGUUUCUAUAAAGUUACCAUGACGUAAAAUAUAUUGAUAAUGUAUUUAUAAAGAGUUUUAAAUUAUAAUAUGUUUCAUGUAUUUAAAGAGUUUUAAAUAUAUUGAUCAUGUAUUAAAGUUACCAUGACUUAAAAUAUCUUUCAUGUAUUUGUUAUAUAUUGAUCAUAGUUAAUAAUAUGUUUUUAUAAAGUUACCAUGACUUAAAAUUAUUCGUACUGUUUUUAUAAAGUUACCAUGACUUAAAAUAUAUUGAUCAUGUUUUUAUAAAUGUUGAUGCUUCUUUUUUUAAAAUAUAAAAGAGUUUUAAAUACUUCAAUUGCUAUCAAGUGUGUUUUCUUUUUUUUAUUUCAAUAUGAACAAAAAAAUUUGACAAUGUUAUAAAUUUUUUUAUUUCUAUUUUUUAUAAUUUUUUAAAUUAUAAAUUGAUUACUUUUUAUAAAAAAUAAAUAAUGUUUAAGUGCACUGCUACAAUUGCUAUAUAUACAGUUAAAAUUUCGGACAUAAUUAACAAAAAUAUCAGUCCCUAAGAUGCCUAUAUAGAUGAGUUAUUACUAGCUUCCCGAUUUCUUAAAUCAAAAUCUACUUGAAAAGUUAAAAACAAAUUUGAUUUUGGUUCAUCUGUCAUUUGCAAAAGUUUUGAGACUCUCUCGUUUCUAACUUCAUCUUUUCUUUAAUUCCGAGUCUUUGAACUGUGAAAAAAAUGGUGGGGUGCAUGAAUUAUUUCCCUCAUGUUCAUACUGUAUAUUCACUACAAUCUCUUUCAUGCAAAUCGAUAUCAAUGUGUAAUAUUUAAACAACAUUUCCUUAUAUUUUAAAGAAAAAAACAUAAUUCCUUGCCAUAAACUCUAUAUUUCUACAUAAAUUUAAAUCUAUAACAUCUACCAUCAACCAAAUAUAACAGCUCAUUACUGCCAUUUCCCAACAAAUUACAGAAAAAAUGUAAAUCAAUAAUAAACCAUACCCAAACACAUCCAACAACCAUUUAAUUCAGUUGAACCGAAUUAUAACAACCACAUAUUAUACCAAAUCAUAAAUCAAGCACACCACAAACCUCUUAUGAAAAUAUCGACCAAGGCCACCAACAGGAGUACGAAUGCUGAGGUAGAGGCUAGGACAGCAAGAACUAUACAGCUGGAGGUCAAGCAUAGAAAGAAAUUAGAACCGUUAGAAGCAAUAAAAAAUAGAAGCUAAGACAACAUCAGUCUUGCCAUCAUCAAUAAGUCUGGUUCGUUCAAACCCAAAACCUAAUAAACAUAAUCAAAAUCCCUGUCUGCUACUGCUUAAUGUAAUAGAAAGUAAAGAGCUUAGACACAUGUAUGAUUCCAAACAAGUAAUAUAACAUUUCUGAUAAUGGCUAUAUAAUAUUAUAUCUCGAUAACCAUAUUGCAAAAGUAAUCCUACAUUUUCGAGGAUAAGGUAAGAUUCUGGAAUAGCAUUCUAUUUAGAUUUCAAAGAUUACUUAAGUCGAUAAUAUCACACUCCACUACUUCCUUAGAUAUUACCAAUAGUGUUAAGAGUCUGGUUGCAACAAUGGCUGCAGACGAAAUGGCAGUAACCAUGGGUUUUUUUACUCUCAAUUAUUACUCACAGAGUACUUGGUUUUGCUAGUGGUAGUGAAGAUUGAUGGAUUCGUACUUACAGCUAUUACUUAAAGGGCGAAGUGGACCUCAAAGAAAGCUAGUAGUGUUUAUCUAUUACUCGAGAUGACUGGGAGGAGUUUGGUUCUUCUAAUUAAGCUGGCAUUAAAUUCUUAAAUUAUUGUUGAUUCAACAAAAAAUCCAUGGUUGGGUCAACUGAAGUGUUUUCUAUCAGUAAUUUUAACUUGCCAUUGAAAAUGUUGUCAUAGCAAGUGUGGGUCUUGAGGUUUAUAGAUGAUUUCCAUUGCUCGUAUCGAAAAUAUAAUUUCUUCAUUACUAAAAAUAGUCAUGAAAUUUCAUAAACAUACAAACCUUCCAAGAACACCUGCUCUAUAGAAAUGAAAAAUAAUAAAAGCUACUAUGAGUAUGAUUGCACUCAUACUUAGAACAAUUCAAUGGCAUAGGAAAAGAGUGUCAUGAACCAAUUUUAAUCAUUUUAGUAAAUAGUUCAGAGCUAACACCAAUAGUAGUGAAAAGAUAGGCAAAAUGCUCAUCCUAAUUACUCAAGCAGUCCAAAGAAAAAAAAAACAACAGUUUAAUAUCAAAAACAGGUCAAAACCAACAAUGUAGCACAAACAAUCCAACAAAAACAACCAAUAACAGUUUAACUACACAUGCAGUUCAAAAAACCAAAUAUUGGCACUUUACAAGUAUUCCAAAUACAAAAACAACAACUAGCAACAGUUUAUUAUUUACCAAAAAAUACGAAAAUUUGCAGGAUCAGACAUUACUGAUCUGCAUAUUUAUUAUUUACCUUGCAUUACCCAAUUUCGUGCAUAAAAACCUAAAACCCUUUUACAAUUGAACUAUGCAUAACAUAGAAACAGAAAAUACAAACUCAGCAAGUCUUUUUCGACAUUGAAAAUAAAACCAUAAAAAAUCAAAUAAUGUCUACAAUAAUAAGGUUACCUGAAAUUUCCCACAGAUCUGCCGGAAAUUGGAGUGGAGAUAGCAAAAAUAAAUGGUGGUCGGAGAGAACGUUUAGAUCAGUAACUGAAUCAGUCGGAGAAGAGGGAACCGAGGAAAUGAAAGAAAACUGCGAUAAGCUGCCACUGGGAACCGAGGAAAUGAAGGAAUGAAGGAGUUCUUGUGGGGGAUUAGUGGAAAAUCAGUCGACAGAUCUUGUGGGGGUGUGGAAAUGGAAGGAAAUGAAGGAAUGAAGGUAUUAGAAGGCUGGAGAGAAAACGGAAAAUGUCUUACCGAAAUGAAGGGCGUAAGACAUUUUCCCCAAUUUUGUAAUUGGUUUCCCGUGUUGCGGAAUUGGUUUUACAAAAAGAAAAUAUUUUCCUGCUAUCAAACACCGGAAAACGUGUAAAACCAAUUCCGAAAUUGGUUUUCCCCUAUCAAACACAACCUGAAUUUUGACAAAUCUUUUAAUGUGGUAUUUAAAAUUUUAAAAAUUCAAUUUUGAUAUCUGAACUAUAACAUUAUUUAUCAAUGCGGUAGCUCUUACUAACUAUUAAUCUUUUACUUGUCAUGACAUGCAGUCCGAUCAAAGGUUAUCAUGUGUCACUUUUUGUCAAAAAUAUUUUAUUUUAAAUAAAGCAUUGGGGACUUAAAAAUUAAAUAAAAAAUUCUUUUAAUCUUAACGUUUUUUCUUUUCAAAAUUAAUAAUCUUUAAUUAAAAUAAACUUAAAAAAUGGAAAUUAAAAUUUCAUUUUAUUUUGAAAAACCAAAAAAUGUGUUUCUUCUUCCACUUAAAAAGCAUAUUAUUUUUUAACUUUUAAAUUUUUUAAAAAUCAUCUUUUCAUUUAAUCCAAGCUUUUAUUCCAUCAACUUGUUUUUAGCAUGAAUCGAUUUAAAUUUUAUUUUUGAAUUACUUUUGGGAAGAACAUUUCUUGGUUCAUUCAACAUUUCCGGAGUCUUUUGAAAAGAAAUUUAAGAACAUUUUUAUUUUUUUUAUUUAAGAAGUCGUAUUACAAAGAAUUUUGAACUACAAAUCAACAUAACAUCCUCACUGUUAUGAAAUAACUAUUUGCAAUGGUUAAUGAAUUUAAAUGACCGUUAAUUUUGUUUUCUGCUCUUUAAUUUUUGUUUAAGUUGUAGUGCUAAAAUGUUGCAUUUUAGGUCCAAGGUUUGUUUGAUGAAAUAAUGCUUUUUGGUAGUUGAAUUAACAGACUGUUAAGUUGCAAUUAGUCGUUAUUUCCUCCUUUUAUCAUGAAUUAGGGGGUGAUUGGUUAGUUAUGAAAAUUGAAAAACAAUUUUUCUUUUCUUCUCUCAGAGCUCUUCUUACUUUCCUCUUCUUAUUAAUCUAUUAUUCUCUUUUUUUUAUUUUGCACGUUAUAAGGGUAUCAGAGCUCGUACAUUCCUCAUGGCCAACGACUGAGUGACUACAAGAAAUGAAUCAGCUUCAACAGGAGUUGUCUUAGCUUCGAGUGGACAUAGAUACCAAAUUGGAUACUUGGUUCAAGGAUUUUCAAGAAGGGUUCAAGAGUGACAUGUGCUCAGAGUUGCAUUGCAUUUUGGAGCAAUUUUUGCUCUUUAGCAGCCUCGUUAUCGAGUGGUUGCCUGCGAGUAUAGACGGACUCCCAAGAGAUUAACCACUGUGUUGCGAAACCAAACCCAUCUUCAGCUUACUCCUCACAUGAAUGAAUUUGUUUCUGUUAAAGUGAAGGUUGGAGGCCCAGUUUCUGACAAUUGGCGCGCGUCCUUGGCAAGUACAAAAGUGCCCCAUCCCAGCAGUGGCACCUUAAGUGGUAACUUUCAAUUGGUAGAUCUGUUGGAACAUAUCGAGAAUAGGUGGCUCAUUCCUCAUACUGCAAUCGAUGAAGUAUGCAACCAAAGUCUACCAUGAUAAACUAGCGAGUUGUCCUAAAGUAAUCCCAUAUUCAAUCAACACAUUACAGAAGAAUGGAUGUAGAGGGAUGUGAAAACCAACCUCGAAAACAUAAAGAGGAAGAAUGAUGUCAUCAGUGCUAUCACUUAGUCAACACCCUCCUUGAACUAAACUACAGUCAUAGGCGAAAUUGGGCAACUGUAUUCCUCUAAUACCCAGAUAUUUGACCAGUUCGUUUCUUGUCAUUGAACAUUAAAAGAAAGGGGUCUUUACCGGGGUGUUUAUCUCCCGAUUGCUAGGUCCAGCCUUGCCACCUAUUGUAGAACUACCCCAACGGACCCUUAAACUUUAUCGUCACAAUUUUUUUCACCCUCACGGUGAUUGUCUUUAACCCUAAUCAUUUUUGUAAAAGGAAAGAAAUAGAGAAGAUUAAAAGAUUACCUAAAAAUAAAAUUGAGAAGUUGUCUAAUGAAGAAGGGAGGCAAGACUCAGACAAUGAAAACAAAGAAAUCAAAGGAAGAAAACUUAGGGAUUCUUAAAGAAACUUAAUCGAUAAGGAAAUUUUGGGGGGAAAUGAUUUCAAAAGUAAGGAUUUCCCUUUCUCUACAUCUUGAAAGAUAUAGCCAAUCGUCUCUCGGAAGAUUUCAAAUUUGUAAUAAACUGUUCAAUUCUCCAAAUCAACAUCUGACACUUGUUAGCCACGGGAAAGGUUUUUCUUAAACCCUUAGAUAUUCAAAAAAGCGAGAAUAUCUGCCAGAGCCAAUUGUCUAUCAAGUACCCACCAAUUGGUAUUUUUUAUUAAAUAACCCACCUAGUAGCAUUAUAUUAGGUAACUAUUCGGUUCGGGUGUAAGCUAAGGCUCCACUAGAAAACCGCGAGUAUAUUUGUAUGCGACUAUCCGCUUCAUGUGAAGUAUAGAUGGAUCCGCCAUUCAAGUGGAAUGAGUUAAAAGUGAAUCCAUGAUAAAGUAAACAACGCUAAGGAAUCAGGGAAGAGUACAAGUGUCUACCUCUACGACAAGAGGGAGUUAUUGAAGAAAAUAGUAAUACUCUGAGUCCGCUUCUGGAUUUAGUCACAAGAAGAAAUUUUGAGGAUAAAAAAUUUUUUAAGGGUAGGAGAGUUGUCACACCCGGUUCCUAUUAAAGUCUGAAAUUAGGAAGGAUUGGUAGUUAAUGGAAAAAUAUAGUAAGUUGAUCUACCACAAUUCGUAAUGGCAAAUUAGAGUAUUUUCGACACUUAAUGAGUUUUUUUAGUACUUUUAUAUGUUUUAUUUCAUUUUCCAUUUUCAGUAGUUUUAGUUUAAAUUAGGUAAAAUAAGCGUUUUAUGCACUUUUUAGUUUUUUAAUGACUCGUAAAGCCAAUUCGGGCCUCGGGUAUGAAUAAUGGGUUACUCGAGUGUGCAGGGCAUCAAUUUGGGCUUAAGUAUGUAAGAAACGAUGAUUAUGUCGCGACAUCAACAUCUAGCAUCGUGACAUUGAACUUAGAAGCAUCAAGAGCUGAAAACAAGGUUGACAUCAUAACAUGAGGAUCUUGUCGUUGCGGCAUUGUGACGUAAGAAUGACUAGAUGAUGAUGUCAACAGCUACGUGAAUAGAAUUUUAGAAGUUGUAAUUUGUUUAUUAAGCUAGGGGUAUUUUAGGAAUAAUGUAACACUCCAACCUCUGUUGGCGGACUGAGACAUUACACUGAAGAUAAACUUAAACUUGGUUCAUACUUUUACUAAGGUUUCAGCAUAUACUCAUUGAACUGGGGCAUUAACCCAAGAUUUUAAAAGACAAAACAAUCAAAACAAGGAUACACCAUAUAAUAUAAAACAUAAUUUAAAACUUUCGAUAGAAGCUUUACAAAAUUUGCUAGGUUUAUAUAAAACUUAAAGUGAGUUAUUUUCUACACAAAAGUUUGAAGUGCAUCAUUGAUAGUUAAAUAUUGUCUAAAUCAAUUUGGCGUAUACAAUUAAAGAUGGUUUCAUAAACCAUAUUACAAAGGUUUAACCUAUACUUCAAGAGUACGUAAACAUUCUCUUUAAAACAGUGAUUUGGCAAAAGAUGUAACUUAUUACAAAUGUUGUUACAAAAUAGAGCUACUCGCCACCCGCCUAAAAACAAAAGUAUAUGCAUGUCACAAAAAAACAUUGGUGAGGCUCACAACAGAGGUUGCUCUAUCUAGCUAAGUCCCUUCUACAAGCCCUUUACACCAAGUUACCACCUGGAAAAAAGAAAGAAAGGAAGUAAGUUCGAAAGAACUUAAUGAGCUCUAAAAUUAAAAUGCUCAACCCUUUCCAAUCAAGUUACAUGAAUAGGGAUAAAAAACAUGUACUUAUACAUACAUUUAAAUUAUUAAGUCAAUAUUUUACACGAAAAGACAUUUGGGCAUAUACCCUCAUACAUAGCUCAAUGGCGGAUACCUAUCCUCGAUAGAUAGUAUCCCUAGGCAGACUCUAUUACCAGGGGAAUACUUUCACCCCUACUUCCCCAAAGAACAGUUUUCUUAACAUCAACAGAACGGAUACUUCCUGUAAGCAACACGAAUACUACUAACUCUUACCCUUUUUAUCUCAGACAUAUUGUUUGACUGGUACUUACACGCUUAUCGAAUUCACUUUCACUAGGGAAAAUAUUAUACACCAAGCACAACAAUUUGAUGGAUACGCUAUGUACACAACACAGUAAUAGGAUUAAGAUUUACCACCUAUCAUACAAUAUUAUCAUACACUAUAAGUACAUUACCAAAUAUUCCUACUCAGAGUCUCAUUCCUCUCUUCAGAUAUACAUAACAUACAACAAAUCCAGAUUCACAUUUUCUUAUUCUUUUUCUUGUCCUUCCUUAUGUUAACCUCGAAUCUCAUAUUCACACAUCAAAACAUAAAUCAUACUUCAUGUUAUUUCAAACAGAUCUGUGUUCCUAUGAGUUCGGAGAUAUUUGACAUGGUUAAUAACUAACAUGCCCUACUGAUGGCAGCACCCAUAUCACUAGGUUGGUUAACAACUAACAUGCCCUACCAGAGACCCAGCACUUACACCAAUCUGGUUAGCAAUUAACAUGUCCUACUAGUAUCCCACCUUAUUCGCACAUCUGGUUAGCAACUAGCAUGCCUUACCAGUGGCCCACCUUAUUCACCCAUCUGGUUAGCAACUAGCAUGCCUUACCAGUGGCCCACCUUAUUCACCCAUCUGGUUAGCAACUAACAUGCCCUGCCAGUAAUCUAUCUUAUCCAGAUACUAAUUUUGCGCACCAAGGAGGUCGUGUCUAUUUUCUGUCACUUACAUGCACAUGUAAAUGAUUACAUACAACAGCUUACCAUAUUUCAUGAUCAUGGUUUCACCUGAAUUCAUAAAUUGUAACUAUGACAACCAGAACUUAACAGUAUACAAAGACUCAGAGGAAACUCACACAUGACUAACACAAACUGGAUACUCACAGAAGAUCUCAAAGUAGUUGGUUACACCGCAAGUCUUUCGCUACACUCUACAAUAUUUACUUGUUAUUCAAACACUCGUUAGUUCUUCUCCAAUGAAAUUCUUCUCUCUUAUCAGGGUAAAAGAAUAAAAACAAAACAGAAGAAAGAAAAGAAGAACCCCCACUACACCAGCCACACUGAUAUUUAUAGCCCUCAUAGCUCUCACAAUAACCCUACACAUGGGCAACCAUACAAAGCUAACUUAACACUCUUUUGUGGCCGACAUAAUAAUUUCUAGGCCAAUCCUACCUUAAACAUCCAUUGCAUUCUAGUUAAUUCCCAACUAGAUCUUAAUAGAAAACCAACAAAAACUAAACAUAGACCUAUGUGCUCAUAAAGAAAACUAUCGGUGCCAUGACCUAACAAUUUACCAUUAGCGGAUACUAACAAAAGGGUCUACCAACACAACGCUUGCCAAGAGAAUUCGUUGAUUGACGGGUUUUCCACAACGACCAUGUCAAGACGUAUAGAUCAGUAACCUAUACUUUGCCAAAAGAUGAACCUUCAGCCAAGUUUUUACAGACUUACCCAAUUAGCCAAAAAUCCACCAAUCUGGCGCGACAACUAGAAUUAACUUAACUUGGUGAAUAGGGUGUAAAUCAGCCUUCCUUGGCUUAUACUUAGCCAGAAAUCUGCCUACACAACCCACCAACUAAGACUACUCCAAGCAGGGUGUUACAAAUAAAUUACACUAAGGUAGCCUUAAUUUGUGCCUAUAUAAAUACUCUUAUACUUCUAUUAAAAGGUUGUUGAAAGUUAGACAUUAGACAGAAAAUUAGACAGUUUUAUUUCCUUUUAUUUAGUUUUAUUUUUAUGUUCGCUUGGUCAAGAUUUUCCUUUUUCCGAUGUGAAGACGAUUGCGAGUGGGGAUUGCUCUGGAACCGCACAUAUAUUUAUUCAAGAGAUUUCUCCUACUUAUUAUUCUUUUAUUUAUAUUUUCGUUAGCUUAAUCAACCGAUGUUUAUAUGAAUAUUAGAAUAAAUUAUGCUUUAUUUAUGUCUAGCAUGUUUUGGUUAUGAAAUUGUUUAAUUGAUUAAGUAGUUUAACAAAUGGAUGUAUGAGUAGUUAACAAAUUAACGAGGGUUUCUCUUACAAACUAAUUGGUAUAAAUUCAUGUGUAAUUAAAACCUAGGAAGUGACGAACCUAAGAAGUAAUAUAGGUAAACGGAUUGAGAGAUGAGGUUACUGAGUAAAUCGUGGAUUUAUCCUGGUCAAGAAAGUAAAGCCGAGAGGUAAGCAUGUACUGGUCUAUUAGUUAGGCAAUAGAGGCCAAAAGGUAAUAUUGUCUAGUUAAUAAUUAAUUCAUUAUUAAAACCCGAGUUCUCCUGUUAAUUAUAAUCGUUAAAGCAAGUUAAUAUUCUAUAUGUUAAUCAGACAUAGGCUUAAAGCUUGCAUAUUUGACACUAGGAAUAAGAAAUUCCAUUAGGUUAAUUUAGGGUAAUUAAUUUAAUUAGUUUAACCGCUAUUUUUGGGUUCACACUACUAACUUGUAAAUUGAUUCGAUUAUUUAUUAUUUUUUGUAAUUAAUUUAAUAAUAAAUUUCUCCAACCUGCAAUCCAUUGGUUAUGAUCUUCGAAAUACUCGUCAGUGUUCUGUUGUAACACAAAACUAUAUUACAAUUUGACCUGUUCGCUAGUAGAUACCACACUUAAUUUUAUAUAUUUUAUUUGCACGAUUUUUACUCUAAACGUUCACACUUUUGGAGGUGGUUAUAAGUCCGGCGAACCUUACUGAGAAAUCUGUAAACUUUAGUGGCUCGAAGGAUAAAUAAUUGGGAUUCAAUCUUGGUUCAAUUAAGUUGGAACCGGUUGGUUCUUUAGUGGGACACAAAAUGAUUACCGAUGAAUAGUUAUUUGGGGCAUUGGACGGUGUAACAACUCAAAAUUCAGAGAAGUUGAGAAAUAUUUAUGGGAUUACCUUAGAAAUAAACUGAAUGUUGGUUAGAUAAUUUUAAUUAAUCGGUGUCCAAUUAGGGUACAGGGACUAAAAUCACAUAAGGGUUAAAAGUAAGGAUUUUCAAAGAAUUACAUUUAAAAUUGAAUAAGUAAAGGAUCUAUUACGCAAAUAAACCAAUAUAUAUUGGGUUAAAGGUGGUCGGUCAUGGUAUUGCUUUUAUGUUUUUUAUAAAACUUAGUUAAUUAAAUUAUACUAAAAUAAAAAAAUGAAAAAAAAAGAAAAUGAAAUAAGUAAAUAAGAUAGAAACAAUUAGCAUGGUGGACGGAAAGAGAAACAAAAAAGAGAGAGAGAGAGAGAAGAAGGAAGAAAACACAUUUGGCUUUCUCAACAAUUUGCAUGCUGAAUUGGAGAAAGAAAGGAAGAAGAGUUUCAGCCAUUUAGUUCUAUGUUUUGAAGCUCAGUUUGGUCAGUAAUUUUUUGUCUUCUUUACAUGAAUAUUGUAUUUUUCGAACCCUAAGAUCAUGAGUUAAAUUACCCAUGUUGAAAAUUUUAGAAUUGUUGAAGUUAAUAGAAGUUACUAUGAUAGAAAAAUCUAAGUUCUUAAUGUUAUUUUGGUAAAUUUUUGAAGUUGGAAGUGAAGUGGGACAAUUUGUAAAGUCAAUUCAUGAAAUCGUGCAUUGAGGAUUAAAUUGUGGAAAAAUUUGAAAUAUGGGGUUAAAUUGUUUAAUUAUAUGAAGCUUAGGGUUUGGUUUUGGAGGUUGUUCUUUGUGCUGGAAAAUUUUGGGUUGAAUUACUAAGUUUUAGUGAGCAAUUAAAAUAUUUUGUACCAUGGGUUUUGAUAGUAUUAGCUUUUAAAAAGUUAAAUGUUAUAAAUUAAACUAGCAUGGUGUUAAUUUAUAAAAUUCAAGAAUUUAGGGAUUGUUAAUGAAUUAUAUGUCGGUUAGCUAUGGAAAUUAGAUGAAGAUGUGAUUAAGUUAAUUUUGAUGUUAAUGACUGAGUAUUACAAUUGCCAAUUGUUGAGGGUUAAAUGUAUAAAUAUGAUUUUAUGAUAAAAUGUUUAAAUUGAAUUAUUGUGAUUUUGAGUUAGUUAUUGAAUUAGAUUAUCAUAUGUAGAUCAAGUAACAAGUAAAACAGUCGUUAACCGAGUGAAGGAGAAAGUUUUCGAUUAAUCAACCUCAAUUACCGAAAGUUAUCGUAAAUUUCGUAAGUCCGUAGUCUUUGGACUCGAACUUUGUUUACUUAUUUUAAUUACCCUAAUUGUGAUUAUUAUUUAAUUAUGUUUCUAUAUAUAUAUAUGUAAUUGAAUAAUUUUUAUUGAAUGGAUAUUUGAUGAGAUUAUAUAUGUGUAUGAUUAUGAAAUAGAUCAAUGAGUUAUUAUUAGCUAUUUGAGAUAAAUAGUUGAAUUAUGAAUGGUGGAAAUGUGAAUUUGCAAAGGAGUGAUUGAUAUCGUCGGUUUAUCCGACUAGCGCCGAGCGCAAAUCUUCGUUGGUAUAUCCAACUAAUGCUGGGCACAUAUCUGAUAUCGUCGGUUUAUCCGACUAACGGUAUGCACAAAUCUUUGUUGGUAUAUCAAACUAGUGCUGGACACAUGUUUGAUAUCGUCAGUUUAUCCGACUAGUGAUGGGCGCAAAUCUUCGUUGGUAUAUCUAACUAGUGCUGGGCACAAAUCAUUGUCAGUUUAUUCAACUAGUGCUGGGCACACAUUUGACAUCGUCGGUUUAUUUGACUAGCGCUGGACACAAAACUUUGUUAUGGUUUAUCCACUAGGCCCCGGGUAUCAUUACCAAAUUAAUUCAUACUGGUAAAUGAAGGUUAUUAUGAAAAGGUUAUGUAUGCUCAUGUUGAACUCAAUGAUAGAACAAAUGGAAUGAAUAUUGCAUGAUGUGCUUUAUAUAGUUACGAUUAUAGAGUACAAUAGUAGUUCUUGAAUUAAUAAAUGAAAUUAGUAUUUGAUCAUUAUUCUGUGUGCAUGUUAGGUGCCUAUUUUGACUAACGACUCAGCAUCCCGCAUCAAUCCCAAACUCAAGUUGGUGAUGUUUACUUUUGUGUCUUGGCAUGCACUUAGGAUGCCAAUGUUUUGAGUGAUGAACCUUUGAUUUUAGUUAAUUUCUAGUGAAAGUUACUUGUGUGGAAUGCUGUUUUCUAAGCUUGUGAAUGAUGUGUUAACUUAGAUAAAUACUUGAAUAUAGUUGCCUUGGGAUAAUAAUGUAAAUGUUAUGAUGGUUAUACUUUUGAAGUGGUUGAUUUGAUAUAUGUGCAAUUUAGGUGGUUAAGCAUAAUCAUUAAUCUAGGCUUAGUUAUCAUUAUUGAAAUGGUAUUAUAAAUGAACGUUUAUCUAUAUUUGGUCAUUUGGUAGAUACUUGAGUGUGAAUGAUAGGGUUGAGUUAUGCAUGUACUUAACUUCCUUAAUUGAUUGUUUUAAACCUGUUUGAGGUGCCUUUGAAUGGCAUAUUGGUUAGGCUUAGGAUGGAGGUUAUUUUGGCAUGAAAUUGAUGUUUUAAAUGUGUAUUGAAAUAUAGGAUUUGAUCUAAUUAAGGUAUAUCUUUUUGUGAAAGAAAUAAGGUAUGGAAUUGCUUGUUUAAAGGGCUAAUCAUGUUGCACACGGCUUGUGACAUAGGAUGUCACACAGCCGUGUACCAUUUAAAGAUAUAGGCGCAAGUUCCACACUAGCUGGGACACGACCGUGUGGCCCAAGUCAGUGAAUUACGUGGCCUAGUACACGGUUUGUGACAUGGGCGUGCGACUCAAGCCAGUGAGUUACACGGUUUGGGAACACGACCGUGUGUAAUAGCCACACGGGCCUGUGUGUCGAUCAAACGACCAUGUGUUAGGCAACACGGGCUGGCCUAUGUCACACAGCCUGGCCACACGACCGUGUGACCCCCUAUUUUUAAAAUUUUUUUAUUUUUUUAAAACUUUCUAACUUGUUUCAAUCUGGUCCCUGAAUGUUCCAAACAUAUUUUUCUGAGGACGUAUGUUUAAAUUAGGAAUUUGUAACUAUGUUUUCGCCAUGAUUAAAUUUUAGCUUGAUUGUUGUGUAUUGAACUAAUGGUAAAAGGUUCUUAAGUUGAUAUUUACAAUAAUUUGUUUGGUAACAUUCCGUAACUCUAAUUCGGUGAUGGAUACGGGUUAAGGGCGUUACAGAUGAUGCGUAAAAAAUGUUAUAUAUAUGUGUGAGGAGGAUUAUUCUGAAGGUAGAAUUCUUUUCAUUUUUGUUUUAUUUUCUUCUCUUCUACAACAUCUUCUUUGGUUGCUCCAAAGAAGAGAAAGUUGAGGAAAAAUCUGUAUGAGGCAAUAAACAUAAGAUUCGAGUUAGAAAAGUAGAGAAUCCAGUCAACUACUGCUAGGACGAAUAAGGCUCUGGCAUUUGGAAAAGCUAAGGUGGUAAGGACGAAGGAUAGUAGGUGAGUUUUUGUACUCCACCUUUGGGUAUUUGCUGGUUGUUGUGCUGCUUGUAUGGUUUGUUUAUAUGUCUACUCUGAGUUCUAUAGUUACAUAUGAUUACGGUGAAUAAGAAAGUCAUGCAUACAUAAGGCUGUGUGAAUACAUGAAUGAUUGCAAGUAUAAUCUUUGAAUUGUCUAAUAAAACUGUGUAUAGAGGUAUUGAUAUAUGGUGUAAUCCUUGUUAUAAUACCGUAUGGAAUGUUAUGUGUGAAAUGUAUAUUAUAAAAAUACGGAGUAUGAAAAGAGUUAUUUUGACGGGCUAGAUGAAGAUAGUAAAAAUUGGCAUAAUGGAGGAAUGGACGAAUUGAAAGGAGACUGGUUCUGGGAAACUCUCGAACAUGUUAGGAAGUGGCACUAGUGUGGGCCACUUAUUCUGUUCUACGAUACAGAUCAGAAUGUCUCUUAUGUCCUACAUCUAACAGUUCUGUCACUCCGAUAUCGGCAUAUCCAUGAAGUCCGUCUUCCAUGACGUGUUUGCUUUCCCUUUCCACUUUGUGGGCCUCUGAAUGUUGCUCCUUUGUUUAGUUUGGAGCUCCUUCUCGUGAUUUUGCUUUCCCUGGAGCUCAAUGAAUUGAUCCUAUAAGUUAUUCACAAUUACACUUCUAGUGGGUGUUGUAAACGACUUGAUAUGUGACAUGAAGACAUCGACUUAGCGAGAUAAGACAAUAAUUAGAUACGGGAAAUACAUACUCUAUUUCCGAUGUCGUAUGCACUUGAGCAUCUCCUCGUAUAUCUAGUGGCUCUGCAAAUUUCAUCUCUCUGCAAAAUUGAGUAAAGCAUAACCACUUGAUAGGUGGUAACAUCAAGGGUACUAUGGGUCGGUGAAAGGCAAGUGCAAAUAAAUUGCAUCCACAUCUUGGCCAUCAAGAACAUGAUGGUCGUGUUAAACUUCAAUGGCACCUCAGAGUUAGCUUGGCAACCCACUUGUCAUGGCCCUCGAUUUAGCAUUUUAUAUUACCCUCCAAGUCAAAGUCCUCAAAUGUAAGUCAAAGGUCUCUAAAAAGUCAUGGGUAUAAUAUAGGGUGUUGUAGAAUCGACAAAUAUCUCAAGGUGCAAUUGACACUUCUUUGCCCCGGGCAGUCACGUGGGUGAUUAUCUCACCUUUCUACUUCUGAUUUUCUCUAUCUUUUAAGGAGGCAUAAAAUUUAUAUACAAUAGCAUUAACCGUCGGUUUGGUUGGGGUAGAGUAAAAAUUAUUCCAACGAUAGGAUCGAACGAAAUCCCAAAUCUUGUCGUAAGCAGACAUAGUGGGAUUGCACACACGUUCUUGUAUAAAUGAUCAUCCACUCAUUUGAAGGAAGAACCGCUUAACUUUCAUAUUAUGGAAGUGAUUGGCCUUGGGGUUACUCGAUGCUUGAGUGGAAGGUCAUUGUUUUCUUGGUGCUAUUUUCAAAUUACAGUGAAAUAACAACUAACCCAAAUAAAAUAAAUGAUAAAGAACAAGUUUAGAACACGAUACCUUAGACGGUUGUCAACUAGCCUUGGUUCCUGAUCGAUGUAGAAUGGACCAAAAUGAAAAAUAAAAGAUAAAAUGAAAAGAUAAAAUAAACACUUACUUAGGAUAAUCGGUGGUUAAGAAUGCGAAAGAUCGAAACUCGGAAGCGGGGAAAAUGUGCGGUGGCUCCAGAGAAAUAUUUUUUUUUCUCUUUUGGGUGGUUUAGAUCGUGUGUUCUUAUGCCUAAAAACGGUGGUUAUGAAUAGAAUUGCAACAGGCUUUAUGCAUGAAAUGACCCAAUUUCAACUGAAAAUAUAGGCCUGUCACGCCACAGCUUGUGCGUGGCGUGACACAAUGCCUUAAUUUUCUUAUUUUGUAUUUGAAGUCCUCCUGUCGCGCCUUAGAUUGUGUGUAGUUCAACAAAACCCUUUAACAUCAGGUACCCUUGCUUCAAAAUGCUUGUGUCGUGAUACAGCCUAUGUAUGGCGCAACACAACAUUGUUUCCAACACUUUGGGGUGUGUUGAUGUCCUCCAAUCUUCCAUUUUAGACCCUAUUUAGCUUUCUUUCGUCUCGUUAUGUCUGAAAACUUGAUUUCUACAGAUCUUAACAUGUGAUUACAUCCUAAUCAUCUUAAAUUUUUACUAUAAGCUAGAUAUUGAGACUAAUUUACAGAAUUAUAUAACUUUAUUAAAGUUCAAUGGUUAAUUUUAUGUCAUGCUACCGAACGUGUCUAAUAAGUUUUUAAAUUUACCAUCGACUUCAAUUGUCGUUCAUGACCGUCUUGACUCUUCCAAUUACUUUCGUUUUCUUUUGGAUCUCACUAUUUGUCUCGUUCUCGUGCCUUCUGAGUACCUACUUUUGUACCUUUUGCUAUUUUUUAGUUAAACUUACCGUAUUGGGCAUUUGUUCAACAUUCACCUUGAUUGGUUCUUGGUGCUCGAUUUCUUUCUCCUUAUUCAUAGGCUUGUUGACUUCUUUUGUGACUUUCUCUUCUUCAUAGCCGGGUUUGGUUAGCGUAUUCAAUUCCUCUCCAACUUGUACUGUGAUUACCUUUACGUGUUCCUGCCCAUCUCUCUAAGGAUUAUUCUCUAUGUUACUAGGAAGGCUCUGGCCAUUUUAUUUUUCAAACAUCAUCAUUAAUUGGCUCAUUUCAUCGUAGAAGUUGUCCAUUCGGGAUUCGAAUCGUCUGCAUGUUGCUUGAACUUAUCAAAUAUUCGUCUUCAUUGUGUGUAUCUAAUUCUCUAAUCGAUCGAAUCUUUGACUGCAUAUACACUGUCCAUAGCUCAUUGUUGCACUGGUGAAGGUUGAUAAGGAUGAUUCAAUCGAGUUUGGGCCUGGUUUGUGCCUCCUUGGUUACGUCCACACUUGAGGUUCAGAUGAUCUCUCCAACUGGGAUUGUAUGUCUUUGAAUAAGGGUUUCGACCUUUGUUGCCUAUAUAGCUCAUGUCCUCUAGUUGGUUUUCUAAAUGUGGCUCCACUCUCAUCAGCUUGACGGGUGUCUCCAAACGGUUAAGUUUUUCAAGAAUUUGUUGGAAUCGAACAUCAUCACCCUCUUUCUUCACAGCUUUUACCAUUGGUGACUUUAAUUGGUACAUGAAACUCUCGUUAAGCCACAUGUACGAAUUCAUAGCCAUGUCUUCUAUAAUUUUGUAGGUUUGUUCAUAUGUGUGAAACAUGAUAGAUCCGCCAAAUGCUCCAGCAAGGCUAUACGUCACACCGUUGUAAAAUAUUUAUAUCUAGAGCCAUGCUUGCAAUCUAUGGUGUAAUAGUCUGUUUUCAGUGAUGUCAAAAAAAGUGGUUUCAGUACCACAAUUUCAGAUAGUGAGUUAAUUUUACAAUUUAUUUAAAGCAUAUUUAGUCAUAUGAAAGUUAUAAAAAAAUUUGGUUGGGAAAUUUUAGCAUUUAGAUAGUUAAUUAAGGAAAAUGGAUUAAAUUGUGAAAGUUGUAAAAGUUAGUUGUAUUAUUUAAAGGAGUUUAUUAGUUAUGGAAAUGAAAUCAUAUGAACCUAAAUGGCAAUUAGACACAUUUGAUUAUGAGUGGACAGUGGUGACUUUGGUUUUAAGGAAAUUUAAUUAAAUUUUAAAUGUUAGUUUAGUAAUAAGACAAAUAAGUGGAAUUAAAACAAAAGAAAAAGAAACAUCAUCAUCUUUCUUGAGCUUGGGACUGAUUAGAGGAAGAAUAAAUUUUAGCUUGUUAAGGGGGGAGUUUCUGUUGAUGAGAAACUUGCAUGUAAGGGAAAUUGACCGCCAUUUUUGUUAAUUUUUUUAUUUUUAUGAUUGUUGAAGCUUAACCCUUGCAACCCAUAUGUCAUUUUGUAGAAUUGUGAAGAGUUUGUGAAUUUACCAUGAAUGAAUUUAAGUGUUUUGUUGUUUGUGAAUGAAUUUAUAGGUUUGAGGAUGGUUUAAGAUGGUUUUGUAAUGUAGUUGUGAUUCGGUUUUGAAGCUAAGGGCUUAAUUGAUUUAAUGUCUAAAUUUUAAGGGUUUCUAGCUAAUAUCUAGUUAGUUAGGGACUAUAGAAGAUUCGGUACAAGCCUUUCUAAUUCAAUUUGUUUAAAUUUAAAAGUUAAAAAAAGGAAUACUUUGCAAAUAAUGUAAAAUUUUGGGGUUAAUUGCAUAAAAUGCUCUUAAUCAAGGAAUUGUAGAAUUUUUGUGCUAAUAAAUUUUUUUAAGGUGUUUAACUGAAUUGAUUGAGUUAAGUUAUUAUAUUUAGAUUAAGGAACGAAUGGUUCUAUAGAUAUACGCGGAAAAGGAAAAACGACUAAGUAGACGUUGUUGGAUACUAGUUGUCACUGCAUAAGUAAGUUUGUACUAUUACUCCUAUGUUUUAUAAUAAUUUCUACUCUUAAUAAAUUUUAUUAUAUUUAGAUUUAUUGUUAGUAUUAUCUACUGAAUGACUAGAAAAUAAAGUGUAAUUGAAUAUGGUGAGUACGUGAAGAAAUUAUUUGUCAGGCCUUGAGCCGAUGAUUUUUUUAGUAGGUUAUGAGCCAGUGAUUAUUUAGCAAGCUAUCAGUCGUUGAUUAUUUAGCAGGCUAUGAGCUGGUGUUUAUUUAGCAAGCUUUGAGCCGGUGAUUAUUUAGCAGGCCUUGAGCUGGUAAUUAUUUCAGCAAGCUUUGAGCUGGUGAAUUAUUAGCAAGUAUUGUGUACCAGUGAUACAGGCCGUAAUGAUGGCUUGAGAUCCUGCAUGUGUUGCAGAUACUCUAACGCUUGUGUGAGCAACAUCGUGAGCUGGUUAAAAUAAAUUCGAAUUAGUAUUAUUUUUUUCUGAUUAUUUGAAAUGAUAUACUAAUAUCAUGAUGAUUUGCUUUAUGAUUAUUUAUCAUAUGGUAUCUUAAUGAUUUGGAUUAUCCAGGUCUAAGUGUUUCGGGAAGUUAAAAUAAUGGUAUAUUAGAAACAAUUUUUAGUUACAUGCUUUGUAUGUUUUAUAAAUAAGUAAAAGGUAUGUGAUGUUUGUUUUAUGAACUUAUUAAGCUAUUUGAAAGCUUACUUUGUUUGGUUGUACGUUCUUGUAGGUUGUCGGACUUUUGCUGUUGAUUGGAAGUUGUUGGAGAUCACACUAUCCAGCAUCUUAUUCGAUAGUUGUUUAUAAAUUUUGGCCUGGUUCUAAAUGGCAUGUAUAUAGGAUGAUAUUUUGUUAAGGUUGCGGAUGUUUUGGUAUUUUGAAUCUAAAUGUCUUUAUGUGUAAGUUGAUAUUUGUUUUGGUGAAAGUGACCUUUUGAUAAUAUAUGCUAAUAGUCAUGAUUGGUAAUGGUAUUUUGGUUGAUAUAUGAGGUUAAGCCUGUUGUUAAUGGUGUUGAUUUUUGAAAUCUAAAUGGAUAAAAUGAAUGGAUUUGAGUACCUUGUAUGCAAAUUAAUUUGGUAUGAAAUAUGACCUUUGGUAUGGUAAAUGAAUUGUGGUGUCAUUGAGGGCACAUUGGUUAGAUAAUUAGGUUGAAUGUGUUGACAUGCAUUAAGUUAAAUUUAUUAUGUUUUGGAAGGUUAUAAUCAGGUAAAAGAGUAGUUUUUAAAGAAAAUGAUUAUGCCAUGAAAUAAGCUUUUAAAGUUAAGAUUUUACCAUUUGAAACAUUGGUAUCAAUACUUUGGCGUUUGGUAUUGAUGCCUACCAUGAAUAAAAGUUUUGGGUAAAACAAAUUGUCAAAAUGGUACCGAUUUUUAAUUAAGUAUUGAUAAUUGGUUAUAAAAUAUCGAUACAAUAAAUUAACUAUAGAUACUUAUGCUUUUGACAAAAAAUUGUAUAACGAUUUAGUACCGAAUUUCAAAAAGGUAUCGUUUUGGUAUUGAUACCAAUUCCAAAUGUUUACAAACUUCUUAAAUAUUUCAAAUUUUGUUUUAUUUAGUAUUUGAAAUUCAUAUUUAAGUUAUUUAAUCCCAAUUUAAGGUAUAAAUAUGUAUGUUUGCUAUGUUUAAUGAAUAAUUUGAUUGGUUAAAUUUAAAGUAAACAAUAGGAAGUUUAUAGUUGUUAAUUGUUUUGUUCUUUGCUAUGACAUUUUGUAACUCUAAUCUAACGAUGGAGGCAGGUUAUGGGAGUUACACAUGGUAUAGGUAGUUCCUUAGUAUUGUCUUCAAAUGCUCCCAUGCCUCGUAUAAAGAUUCAACUUCAUAUUGUUUAAAAAAUUUUAUUUCCCGUCAAAGCUGAAUGGUUUGACUAAUUGGGAAAAUUUUAUGAAGAAAAUUUUUCGCUAGAUCAUUCCACGUAGUGAUGGAACCUAGUUCUAAUGAGUCUAACCAAUCAACAGCAUUAUCAAAUAAUGGGAGCAAGAAUAACUGAAAAUGUAUAGCAUCACCGAAUACUUCGUUUUAUUUGAAGGUGUUGCAUAGUUGAAGAAAUCACUUCAAGUGUUGGUCCAAGUCUUUAAUCAUGUUUCCGUUAAACUGCAGUGUGUUUUGAAUCAUCUAGAUCGUGGCCAUCUUUAUCUCAAAAUUAUUGGCCUUAACCAAUGGUCGCUCAAUGUUUCCUCGCAUUGCGUCUACGGUAGGUAGUGCGUAUUCGCACAAUGUCCGCUAAGCCAUUGGGAUCUCUUCCUAAUUAUGUCCUUAUUUUUUUCAUGGCUCCUCAAAUAACGGGUUUUCUCGAGGCAAAUUUAUUAUCAUGGGUGGAUCGUUAUCCAUUAUUUGACUGUUACGCCUAAGUAUUCGCUCCAGAUCUAGGUAUAGUUCAAUUCGAGUGCUGGAGUUUCAGGUUAUACACGACUUGAAACAAAAAUAAAAAUAAAUAAACAAAAAUAAAAAUCGUAUCUAUAGGUCCUAAUGUUCCUACUUAUCUUAUUAAUUGUAAAAAAAAUUAUUUUCAAAAUUUAUUACCGAAACCUCCACGGUAAUUACGCCAACAACUUGAUCGCCUAUAAACGAGUUAAAUAAUACACAAAAAUUAUAACAGUUAAUAACGACAUUGUCUGCAAGUACACGAGUCAAAUUGUAAUAUAUAUUGUACAACGAAAUAUUUGGAAGUAUUCCGAGGAUCAUACCCAAGGGAGGAUGGAAUAAAUAAUGAAAUACUUUUUACAAUACUAAUUCUAUAUAGGAAUAGUUCAUUCUUAUAUUACGAUGGAUCAUAAAAUAGAUUAAGAGGAAUAAAAAUAAAUAAAAUAAAAUAAACAAACGAAAUAAAUUAAUAGACCAAUCAUGAAGAUGAACUCGCUUCAGGGUUUACAACUAAUUUUGGAUUAGGGGUCUAGAGUGAUUAAUCAUCGAUCAAGAAAUUAUUAGCUCCCGGCUCUAAUUAACUUAAUCGAUUAGUUGGUACUCGCUUAUCGUCCGACCUCAUUUUCUCAACUAGGAUAAAUUUUGAUUUACUCUGUUCGACUUAUCUUCUGAUAUUAUCUAGCCUAUGAUAACUUAUUAGGUUUGUCAAGCCUAACAGUUUAAGAACACAUAAUUUAUACCAACUAACCCAUCUCGAGAAAUCUCAAAUCCUCCGUUUGUCACAUCUCAAAAUCAGGUUAGUAGAUCCAAGUUAGUAAAUCAGAAAUCGUAUUUAGGUUAGAUAAUGAAAUUAAAUAAGAAUAAUUAAAUAAAAUAUAAAAAUAAAAAGAAUUAAAAAUUUAAGGUUAAGAAAUUAAUAUUGAGUGUUCAGGAAUUAAUUUAGUUAAAAAUAAUUUUAAAAACAAGAUCGGAUUUAAAAAUAAUUUUAAAAUUGGCUUCAAUUGAAAAAUAAUGACAAAAUUGGAAAAAUGGAGAAAAAUGUAGUUAGUCAAAGGGGAAAAUGCCCAAUUUUUAAAAUCUGUUGGUUCUUAAACCACCCACCGUCUCCUUCCUCCCAUUUAUCAUCUCUUUCAAAAAAUUUGCCAAGCACAAAUUAAAGCUUUCAAAACACAAAAUCUCCUUUCAAUUUUAAAGAAUACUUAGGUUUUCAAACUCGAAUUAGCUUCGUAGCUCAUUGAUUUUGUAAAAUUAAGGUAACAUUUUGACUUUUCAUGAUUAAACUAAGUGUGUUAGCUUUUUAAAUUAAGUUUUAAUCGAUUAAAUCAAUAUUUCAAUAGAUCCUUUUAUUUUAAGUUGAUUUCAAGCUUGAAAACGGUGGAUCUCAUUUUAUUGUGUUAAAGUAUUGUUUCAAAGCUAUUUUAAACAUAUUUUGAUCCUAUUAAAAGAUUUUUAAACUCAAUUUAACAAGUCUUUAAGUAUUUUUGAAAUAUUUGAAUUAUCUCUUUACUUUAAAGUUGAUUUGGCUUGAUUUUUUCGGAAAAAUGAGAUCCACGUAAUUGGACAAAGUUGAAGGUUUAAAUAUGUAAUUAAAUGAUUCUUAGGAAUAUUAGGAUCAAAAUUAAGGUUUAGAAAUAAGAUUUGAGUGGUGAAUUGUAUUUUCGACAAAACUAGCUAAGUUUUCGGUAUAGAGAUCUAAAGGCUUUGAUCUGUGAUUUUAGAAUAAGUUAAUCUUAUUUGUUGUUGUUUGUAAUGCCUUUGGAUUGUGUUUGAUGUGUAUGUAAAAUUCCAAUUAAUUUGGGAGCCUCUACAAGUAAAGACAAAAGCAAGCAAAAGUUUACUUGAGCUUUGCCAUUGAAGCAAGUUGCUAAGGUGAGUGGUUUGAUGUGCUAUAAUUCAUGUACAAAAUAAUAAAUUAGAGGGGGAUUAGGUGAUCAAAUCAUCUAAUCUAAGUCCUAGGAGUAAGUGUUCUUACAUGAGCUUUGUUAUUUUGCAAAUAAGCUUACAUGUGUUGGGAUAUGUUUAAGUGUGUGAUAUGAAUAUAUGUGUUGAAUAUAUGUCUGAAUAUGCUUUGUGAAAAACUAGUUUUAUGCAUGCACAUCUAAUAUGGAAGUCUAUUUGGCUUAUUGAGCAAUGUGUUUUCACUUGGAGUGCAUUAUAUGAAUGUGAUAAGUGAUAUGAACUUGAUAAGUGAAAGUGUGCAUACACUCAAAAAUAAGUGUGUAUAAGUGAAUAUGUAACGCCCCAGAAUUUUUAUUUUUGUUCUUGUGAAGAUGUGACAAAACUAUGUAUCUGCUUCAGUGGUUAAGUGUUCUGGGUGUGUGAGAGGUCCCAAAUAUAAGCCAGGACUUGGGAAAAUUUUGGUAUUUUUAUGAAUAAGCUCUAUCUUUGGUCAGUAGGCUUUUAAGUAAAAGUUGGCAAAUAAUUAAUAAAAUGGGCUUGCUGGUCUGGUGGAUAAAUGGAAUGUUUGUGUGAAGGAGGUCCUGUGUUUAAUUCUCUACGAUGGUGUGAAGACAGUAUUUUUGCUCCAACUUCGGCUAAGAGUUGUGUUGGGGCAAAAUUCCGAUUAGUUGUGUUUUAGUGGGUUAAUAGGGAGUGAUUUUAGGAGAUAAUGGGGGAGAGGUUAUCAUAAAAUAAUCAGAUUAUCUUUUUGUUGCAGAAAAAAAGUAAAGUUUCGGUUUUCUCUCCAAUUACCCAAACUUUUUCUGACAUUUUCUUCUUCUUUUCCCUCCUUUGCCGAUUCUUUCCCUUAGUUGCUGCCAAAAUUUCCAUUAUUUUUCCCCUUCCGUUUCUUUCUUUAUUUUCCAAUUGAUUUGGUUGCUCAUCGUUGGCUGCAUGUGUUCGGUAUGUAACGGUUUUGUCUAUUGUUAAUUAUUCUUGGAUAAUCUCUGAAAGGGGGAUUCCUUUUUGGUGUUUAGGAGUUAAUCAAGGGGUUGGUGGUUUUGAAUCCACUCCGGAUUGUGCAAAGUCGUGGUUACUCAAGCGAGGUAAGGGUUUUGUUAGGUUUUUAGUCGAGUUCCUUCAAAAAAUUGUUGAUUAAAAACGAAUUAAGUGAUUAAUCUGGAGAUUUGUUGGUCGAUUUUUAGGUUCUGGAGGCUUAGGAGUGCUUACGCAUCAGAAACGAUACCAAGUGUGUACCCAAAACGUAGAAAAUGGGAUUUGGAAAAAAGCCAAAACUGCUUGCUGUCGAGAAAUAAGAGAAAUAAGAGAAAAUGAUGUGAAAAAUUGUAGAGAAAGUAAAUAAGGGUGUUAUAAUCUUGGAAAUCAACAUUUUGCACUAAAAUAGUUUUGGACAGCAGCAAUAGUCUAACUUUGAAAAUCAUAUAAAAUAGUGGAAAUUGAGUUAGAGGUUGAAUAAAUUAUGAAAUUAAAUUUUGUUGAGUCUAGUUUUUCAUGGAAGAAAUAGUGUAAGCAAUGAAGGUUUAAGUUAUGAUAUAUAAUGAAUUUUGUGAGACAAGGUCAGAAUUAUUUCGGGUUCCCCUGUUCUGAAUUUGGAAAAUCAUCAAAAAUUGUAAAAAAAUCAUUAGGGGCUUAAAUUUAUAUGUUUAAAUCCUUAACGAGUUUAUUUUCAAGAGAAAUAAACAGAAACAUCAUCCGAAUUUCGUACUAAGAGAUAAAUAAUUUUUAGUAAGGAAAAUUUGAAGCUAUCAAACAGCAGAAUCAGGAUAGAUUUGAAGAUUUUACUGUACUUAUUUGAUAAACUAUAAAAUCUAAAAAAUUUAUGGUAGAAACGUAUUUGAGUCUAGUUUCGAAAACAUCAAGCGGAUCUUAAUUUGGAAUUCUGUAGCUCAGGAUAUAAAUAAUUUAGGGACAAUGACUCAAGUAGACAGCUUUGAAUGAACAUAAAAGUAAAUAAUGAAAACAUAUAUAAAUAUUUAAGUAGCAUGGGUUACAUUAAAAAUGGAUCACAUGGCCAAUGCCAAUUUGGGCCGAGUGGGCCACACGGCAUACACGAGCUUGUGGGCCCAUUUUUACCGAAAUGUUUGUAAGGUUGCACGGGUCGCCUAAGUUGACUGUGAACCUACUGUAAGGUCGGUAACCACUACUUAGACCCCUAAAUGUGUCAAAUUGACUGAAUGAUAUUUGUACUAAGCAUGUUAAUAUCUGAACUAAAUAUAUGUACUAAAACUGCGUAAUAGCAUAUCAUCCAUGGUAUGUUGCAUUAUAUUGGGUUGGGGGUUGUUAUUCGGAGGAAGUGUACUGAAAGGCUUUAAGCCUAAUUUAUUGGAAGCUCAGCUGCAAACUACUAUUUUGUGCCGCAUUCGGUACUACUUAGAGCGUAGGGAUGGGUGGGUUGAUUAUAUCCCCACAUGGAGUGUAGGGUUGGACGGAGAUGGUGUGUAGAGGCUGGUUGGGUAGGAUUUUGCUAUUGCAUAGCUAUUACUGCUACUAAUAUUAUGAUAGGAUAAGACCCUACUGCAUUUUUUUUGACACUGUACUGAGAUGGGCUAAGGCCCAAACUGUCACUGAUACUGAAAAGGGCUUAGGCCUUAGACAAUUCAACUGUGCACUGUGAAUACUGAUUGUUUAUUUGUUUCUGCGAGACUACACAUUGAGUUUACGUAAACUCACUCUUUUUGUUUAAUGUGCACAAGUAAUCCUCAGACUUAGACGGAUCUGUGCGACGGAGGACUCGGUGGUGACCACUAAAAUUUUUGGACUUCAUGGUUUUUAAUUUAUGUUUUAUGAUUUAAUUAUUAUUGAUUAUUUGGGUUGUAAUUUAAGGACCCUCAGGGACUUUGGUUUUAAAUUUUGGGUUUUAUUUAUUUAUUUUACUUUAUGGAUGUAUACUUGCUGGUCGUAGGAAAUUCAGUUUUCAAAAAGUUAAAGUAGUUUCUAAAUGCAUGACCACUUAGACUGUUUUAUUAAAGCUUCCACAACGAGGGAUGUUUCAAAAAAAAUGUUUUAAAUAAAUAAAGAUGACUUUCUAAGUUCUAACAGAUUUUUACUAAAGAUAAUAACAUGGAAUGUUUUCAACGUAACAACGAGGUUUCAAAAACACUAUCAUGUGACAUUGCUAGAUACGGCCAUAACGUCUAGGCUGGGUUUGGGGGUUACAAAAUAUAUUGGCAUUGUGACCUUUUGAAACCAUUGACAUGUCAUAAGAUUAUGAGUACUCACCACUUAUUGAUAUUGUUUGGGUAUUGAGGUUGAAGAUUGUGUUGGAGAAAUAAGGGAAUGUGAGCUUAGCUCCAUUCAAAAAGAUAAUUUAGAGAGUGUUAGCUUUAUGCUACACUUAAAGAAGAUAGUAAUGGACUCUAUGAGUCAAUUGGUGUAUUUGGAGAUCCACUUAUCCAAUGCAUUAUGUUAUAUGCAUGCUUCUUAGUCACAGUCGUGCCAAUAUAUCAAUGUGAAUGCUAUGAGGUAUGCUAGAUAACUUGCCAUGAUUGAUUGAGAUAGUAUGCCUUCUUUUAAAAACGGAUAAUGUGUUUAUUUAUAGUAAGCAUUGAGCACUCACUGAGCUUGAAAAAGCUCAAACUCUUUAUAAACAAUUUUCAAAAAAAUAUCUUGAGAAGAGGAGGAGGAGUGAGCCUUCCAAGUGAUCCAAAGCAAGGCAAUGGUUUCAGUAUGCUUGAUGUGUUUCCACUCAAUAAGGAAGGAAAUGAGCGGCUGAUCUAAAGGGUUUUAGUUUUUGGAACUAUUAAUAUUGGUUUGGAUGGAUGUUUUUAAUGGAUGGUUUGUGAAGGCGCAUUGUUGGUUGAUUUGGUAAGGUGUUGUGUACUUGUUAUUAGCUAACAUGUAAAAUGCAGGUGGUUUGGCUUGUUGAGCAUUAAGGUAAGUCCAAAAUGAUCUUUUGGUAUGUUUUGUACCAAUUAUGCACCUUAAAUCGCCUUAUAUGCAAAUUAGGUAUGUUGAGUAAAUUAAAUUGAGACUUUAGAAAAGCAUGCUAGCAUAGGUUUUUUUUUUAGAUGCCAAAGCAUGUUAAUGUAUGAUCUUAUGUAUUUGAACAUGAUUUAUGUGUAUUAUGUAUGCUAUAUGAUAUGUUAGAAUAGGGAAAUGGCAUGAAACUUCGAAUUGGUAUGUGCAUUUGAGUACCAAAGUGUUAUAUGUAAGUGCUGAAAUUUUUCUACAAAUUUUUGGGUCGGUAUCGCGAUGAGCCCUAUAGGAUAUCGCGAUACCAGAUGAUGUCGCGACAUGAAAAUCGUGUGGUCGCGACAAGACUUCCAAUGUGUUCACGGCAUGUUUUGUAACCAUUACAAAUUACUUUUGAUUUUUAUACAAUAAAAUUGGAGGCCUUAAACAACACAAAAUGUUUUGAAAAUUUAUAUGACUUGGUUAUAAACAUUGAAUUCCAAAAUGUUAAUUUCAAUUUCUUAAAGUGGUUUAUCUGGAUAUUUUGUAAGAUUACAUUUGAGUCCUUAAAUUUCGUUUUAAGCUAAAAUUUUUACAAAUGGUUUAAAAUAGAAUGCCCAAGACACUAAAUGAACUAAAUUUCAUGAACUACGAGUUUUGCUUUUAAUGUGUAAAAUGAUGAUUUUACCUCUGUUUAUAUUUUGUUGUAUUAUGUUAGACAAAGCAUGAUUUAGGCUUGUUUGAUUAAAACUACUUGUUUAAGCAUGUUUUUAUUUGGUGUGAUGCUUGGUUUGUAAUGUGUCUGGAUGACCGGUAAGGAGAGUCACAUAAGUGGCUAAUGUGAUGUUCCAAAUUCGAGUCGAUCCGUCUCAGUUGGGUUGGGGGUGCUAGACCAUUAGUCACAUUCUCAUCCACUUAUUAAUCUCCUCUAAAGGAUUUAGUCACUCAUGUUAUUCAUAAUCUUAACUUCGAAUGAAUAAACUACGUAAGAAACAUGAUCGAUUCAAAAUAGAAAAGAGAUGUGAAUAAUUGUAGAUUGAGUACCGAAUGGGAAACAGAGUAGUAAAUCUCUCAAUUGGAAUAACGAAAUAAAACAAAUGCAACAGAAAAUAUAAUCUGAAUACUUUAAUUAAAUAAACAAGUCCUUAAAUUAAAACUAAUUCAAGAAGAAAAAUAAGAAAGUAUUUAAAAACCCGAAAAGAAAAAUAACUAAACCUAAUUUUAAACUAUGAGGGUUUUUUAAGGCGUUUGAGACAACUUGAUUACAUUCAACCCCUAAUGUCUUAUUUAUAGAGGUCCUGGCAGCCUAAAUUAGGUCUUCAGCACAUCCUAAGUCUUUGUAUAAGUUUGAUUUCACGGAUAAAAAUAAUCCCGAAAUACUUGGGCAGCACAUCGGCCUUGUGUCGCGUGACAUGACACCUAAAUACUGCCUUGUGUCGUUUCUUUGAUGCUUUGAUGUCCCGGGAACCUUAUGCAUCACUCGACCUUUGAUUUCACGUCAAUUGGGCCUUUAUAUAUCCAUCCUACACAUUCAAUUAAACCAAUUAGCACAACUUAAGGCCCGUGUCAGUCUAUUGGGUCAAAACACCUACAAAAUGUGUUAAAAACACUUAUUUUUAUUAAAUUUUUAUCCUAAGGCCUAAAUACUGAAAACUAAAUUAAAAUCCUAAAUUUCUUAGAAAAUAAGAUCCUUAAGUGUGGAAUUGACCCAAAUUAAAUACUACAUUUGACAGCAGGUCACUUGUAGAACCUCGUAAAAUGUGAUUAAUUAGUGGAAGCAUGCAAGAACGAGUAAUGAUUAGAGAUAAUCCUGAUUGGGAUUUGGACGUGGGUUAUUUAUAAAUAGGAUAAUGUGAUAAUAGAGAUAAGAUUUCUGAUUCAUCUUCUCCACUAAACUUUGUUAUCAUCAAAGAAACUAGGAGAGUUCUUCUUUGCUAACAAAGGUGUUAACUGUAAAAGCUUAGGAGAACUUUUGUGCUUGUUGUUUGCUGGUAAAUUUUUAAACCUUCCUUUAAGCUUUACUAGAUAGAUAAAAACUAAUUUAAGAAAGGAUUGGUAGGAAUUUCUUUGAAUAUUGGGUAUGAUGGAAAUUUUUACACAAAAAUUGUUUGCAUGUCUAUAGAUUCUUGCUAAAUCAUAAAGUUUUAGUCAUUUUCGAUGAUUAAAGAAGUUGUUUUAUUGUUUUGGCCAAAGAAAUGAGAGAAGGUCCUAAUAACAAAGGGAAAAAACCAGUAGAAUAGAUAAAGCUCUAAGGAAAGUAUUCUGGUGAGUUCCUUUAUACCUUGUGUCUGGUAUUUGUGCUAAUUCAUUUACUCCUAAAUAUUGAACAGUUAGGUAAGUGACUUUGUCAAUUGUAUUUGGUGUUCAUGUCUGAAAAAACCCAAUAAAAGAGUUAGUGCAUACAUGGCUAAAUACGGGUAAACAAACCCGGAAAACCUAGUAUAUACACAGUAGGAGUACUCCUUCCUUGGUCCACAAGCUUUGCAUCUAGAUAGGUAUAAUGAGGUAUCAGUGGGAUAUUGUAUAUUAUGAUACAAAUAAUACAGGAGAAAAUGUUUUGCCUCCGGGAUGGCAUUUAAAUGCAAACUGUGAUUGGUGAAAACCCAACCUUACGUGAGAACACUUAUGUGUUCAUACAAGCAUUAGAGUUAGGAAGAUACGGAGGUGAUGUUGUUAUAUAGCUCAGUUGAGUAGAUAUGAAGAUACAAGAAAAAUUAGUUCUUCAAGAACUGAGAUCAAAAGCUAGCACAAGGAAGAGGGUACGUGGAAAAAGAGGUGCAUGUGGUGGUGCACGUUGCAUGAAAACAUAAACAGUAAGCAUGUCAGUCAUAAAUGGUAGUCCAUACUAGUGGCGUAUUCGCGGAGCAGAUGUGCUCAUGACUGUCAUAUAUGAGUUUAGAGACCAGUGUUGUUCGCCAAUAAGCUGAUUUGAUUAUGGUAUCAUUCGCCAGUUGGUCUACAUACCAGAGUAAUGUAUCUGCCAACCAUCAUAAACUAGUCGAAUCCCUUUUUCUUAAUGUCUGGUAGUAAUCCUGGUGGGAUUUUUCUUCCUAGGAAUUCACUAAGUUCUUACAAACUUACCCAAUUUCUUCUGUCUUUUAGGUUAAGUGUGGUGAUCGAAGGGAUAUAGCCAGGUAUGUGGCCAUUUGUGUAGUUAACAUGUAUUUGUUGGGGGUAAUAGGUCAAUUGUUGGAAAUCGCCAUUAGGUCAACUGUUGGAAAUCGUCAUUUUAGAAAUUUUAAUUUGUAUUGAAUGUUAUUUUCAACACUUCGAAUGUUGAAUGGAAGCCUUGAUGGCACGUUAUUUAUGACUCAUUGAUGUAAAUUUAAGCAGCCGCCAUAGAUUAAUCUGUGCAUCUUUAAAUCUUUAAAUGUGGCGGGUUGAUAUUCUAAAAUCGUGCUUUCAAAUAAAAGUGGUCUUAACAUAAAUGAAUAUCGUUCUGGUAAAGGGGGUAUCCACCAAAAUAGAUAAUGGUUUUUAUUUCAUAAAAGAGUAGAAGAUGUGUUUUCUAAUUGGGUUAACCUGUGACACUUUAUACCCGGAUCCAACAAUCAAGUCAGGCGUAAGGUGUUACAUCGGAUACAUAGGUACUCAACCACAUCAGUUGCUCGUCCGAGCAAAAUAUAUUCAUGUUAAGUUACUAGUCUAAACUAAACCUUUAUGACACAUUUAAUUGCUUAUUCAAGCUGAAAAUAUUCCUGUCAGACUACCCGUCUGAGCUAAACCUUUAAAAUGGUUACUAAUCCAGGCUAAACCUGUGUCACGUGUAUCUUCGAGUCCGCAACCAAUGUUGGAUCUCGAUAAUCACAUGUAAUCAAUCUGUAUAAGUGUGCACAAUACCCUAUUGACAUGUUAUUGCAUCCUAACCUUUACUAAGUUUACUCGGGUAUUUUUAACACAUGUUUACAUUCCUUGACAAUUUAGUCUAAAUCUCACAUUUAUACCAUUUCACAACCAAACACAUAUAUGAUUACAAUUCAAUUACACAACAACUUAAACACAACUAUACCAUAUGAACUUACCUAAAAAAAAUCAACAAUUGUAACUUCAAGGGCUAUUCAAUAAUUUUGUCUUUUUCCCGAUUACCUUCAGUUUAGUUCAAUUCUGAUCUAUACAAUAAACUGGUUCAAUUUAUUAAAACCAAAGAUUUUAUAACAUCCUAUUAUAUGCAUGAACCAGUUCAAUUUUAUUUUUCAAAUGCCCCCUAAAGUUUUACAUUUUAUUCAAUUUAGUUCCUAAAACUGAAAUAACCAUAAAUUUUAAUUUUGAGCUUCGGUUUCAAAAUCUAUCUCAAUUACAUCCUUUUAAGAACCUCUAUUAUCUAUAAUUACAAAAAUUUUACAUCAAAUAUCUAUUUUUUACACUUUAGUCCUUAUGUUCAAAAACUAUUAAUUAAACAUUACAAUCUAGUUUAUUUUCAAAUCUAAGCUUCAAAUAUAACAAUUUAACACCACUUUCUUCAAGAAAUCAACAAUGGAAACUUUUAAAAACUUUAACAGUUUUGUAAAUUGGUACAUGAGCUAGCUAAAUCAAGCUCUCAUGACCUUAAAACAUAAAAAUUACAAAAAAAAAAUGACUUAAAAUGGCUUGCCAAUUGAGAUCGAAGCUUGAUAUUCUAAAAUGGUUUUCUCCCAUUUACGUUUUGUGUUCAUCCGAUGAAGAAGAAGGAAAUAAGGAUGAUAACAUCCAUUUACUUAACUUUUAUACUUAUAUUAACUUAAUUAAUCAAUAUUUAUUUAAUUAAAACUUAAUUAUAAUUAACGGUUAGUAGAUUCUUAAUACCAUCCACCACUGUUUGACCAUUUAAAAAUGGUUUAAUUACUCAAUUGGUCUUUUGGUCAUUUAAAAAUCUAAAAAGAUAAACUUUUACAAUUUAGUCAUUGUACCUUAAUAAAAUAUCAAUUCGGAAAAAUUACUAGACCAAGCUUUAAUAUAUUUAUAUAUUAGUCUCAUAAAUAUAUUAAUAUUUACAAACUUGGUUUACGAAAAUGGGGUUCCAGAAUCGUCGUUUUCGAUACCACUAAAAGUUGAGUUGUUACAGCUUUAGAUGACUGUGAUCUUGUAAACUAGAUAGAGUAGCAGCAAAUCUUAGUUGGUGGAAUCAAUUUCUAGAUUUUAGUUUCAAACAUUUACCUAUUUUGUUUUUGGACCAAUGCCAACUUCUAAUUUAAAUCAGAGGAUAAGCUUUUCGGGCUGGAAUGCUCUAGAUGCACAACCUUUCCACUUUGAGGUGUCUUGGACUUUAGAUAAUUACUACAAUGUGGUAGUUCAAAGAUUUUAGUAGGAGCAACAGGGGAACUUACCAGAGCGCAUAAAGCAUUUGGGUUGGGGGUUGGAGAUGUGGAAUCGGCAGUGACAAUAGGUUUGUCAAGCAAAGACUAAUUCACUGUAGCAACGUCUAAAUGAAUUGAAUGACUUGUCGAUUAAUGAUUAUGUGUAUGCUAAAAUUAUUGAUGUACAAUUGGGUUUAUGAUUAGAAGUAUAUAGAAAGGAAAUGUUUUGGGAGUAACAUGUGAGGGCUAAUUGAAUUAAGUAAGGGAUAAAAAUAUAGUUUUCUUUCACCGAUUUGCAUUUCAAUAGAGGUGGACUAACAAGUUGCAUUGUUUGGAAUGUGGCCAUGGUGGAGUGAUGGAAGAUAUGGAGGGAAUGUUGCGGAUUGCUUAUAACUAUUUUUCUAUUUUUUUACUUCACAGGGGCGAGGAGACCUGUCAUGUUCACUGUCAGGAGUUCAACGUUUUGUUACGGAUGAGAUGAACAAUGCACUCACAAUAACUUUUGAGUUGAGGGAAAUAGUGAAGGUAGUUAAAAAUAUUCCUCCAACUAAGGCUUUAGGAAUGGAUAGGACGCUCGUGUUAUUUUUUCAAAAAUACUGACACAUAAUAGGAAGAAAGGUUGAGACUUAUUGUUUGGAUAUGUUUAAUAGGUAAAGAUAAAUUAAGGACAUCAAUUGAACUACCUUUGUUUUAAUAUUAAAGGUGUUGGAUCCGACAACUAUAGAAAAGUUGAGGCCAAUCAGCUUAUGUACGACAAUUUAUAAAAUUAUUUCCAAAAUUUUAGUUAAUCGGUGUUAAUUAAUUUCACAUUAUUGUAUUGACAUUGUGUAUAUUGUAUUUGUUCCAGGUAGGCUAAUCUCUGGUAAUGUUCUUGUAGCAUAUGAGAUCUUUCAUGCUUUUAAAAGGAAGAGAAUGGGGAGAAAAGGAUCGUUUGUACUAAAGUUGGAUUUGAGUAAAGCGUAUGAUAGGGUGGAAUGGCACUUUGUGGAGGCAAUGAUGCUUAAAUUGCAAUUUGAUUCUACAUAGGUUUUCUUGGUUAUGCAUUGUAUAUCAUCUACUUCUUAUAAUGUUAUGGUGAAUGGAUAGUCUACUAGUAAAAUCAUCUCAACAAGAGGGUUGUGUUAAUGGGACACUUUAAGGUCGUACCUAUUUCUAAUUUGCAGCAAGGGUUUUUUUCACCUUGUUAUGUAUGGCACCUAAGGGGUGACUUUGAGGAGCUCAAGUGUGUUGUGGAAGUCUAUGAGUAUCCCAUUUGUUUUUAUUUUUUGUAGAUAAUAGUAUUUUGUAUGGGGAAGCAUCUGAGGUAAAAGCUAAAGUGGUGCAUAAUACUAUUAAGAAGUAUGAGGCUUGCUUGAGCUGAUGUGUGAACUUUGAGAAAUCUUUAAUAUUCUUUAGUGCCAAUGUCCUUACUAUUAUCAAAGAUUUAGUCUUGCAUAUCUUGAAUGUUUGAGCUACCAAUAACUCGGAGAAUUACCUGGGACUCCCUACUAUAGUAGGGCUUAAGAGGUCAGAGGCUUUUUGAGGUUUGAAAGACUGAAUGUGGGCUAGUGUUAACAAUUGAAUGUUUGUUUGUUGUCUCACAGAGGUAAGGAAAUUUUUAUUAAAUCGAUUCUACAAGCAAUACCUACAUAUACUAUGUCAUGUUUUUUGUUACCAUCAAGCCUUUGUAAAUAUCUGGAAAGCAUUAUUGGUAAUUUUUUGUGGCACCAUUCACAAUCUAGGUGUGGUAUUCAUUGGUGCAAUUGGCUUGAUAUGUUCAAAUUAAAGGAGGAUGGAGGUAUGGGCUUUCAUGACUUGGGGAAAUUUAAUAUUACGUUAUUGGUUCAACAAGGUUGGCAUUUAUUAACGCGACUAGAUUUAAUAGUGUCAGGGAUACUAAAAGCAAAAUAUUUCCCAACGAAGGAUUUCAUGAGAUCAAGGCUAGGUGCUUACCCAUCACUUACUUAGCGGAGCAUUUGGAGUGCACAACAAUUGUUAGAAAUGGGAAUGGGGUGGUAGAUUGGCAUGGGUGAAGUAGUCUCAAUUUGGCUUAGAUGGUUGUGUUGGAAAAAUCCUGUUCAAAAAACGACUUUCUGUCACAAUGAAAAAUUAAAAUUUUGAAAACCAAGCUGGUUUGUGAUAUUUAUAAUAAUAAACUUUUUCCUGGAAAUACAUGUGCUUUGUGCAAAAUGGAUCCUAGACGUCCCUAGAUUUCAACUGAACAACUUUCUCUGCAAUUCUCGUACCACAAAUUGCUUCGAUUAUGGGCUCGAACAAUUACGAACCAAACACAUAACCAAAAAUGAUUUAUUACUUUAAGUAAGAAAGUAUUUCUUUCUCAAUAUAAACCGACAGAAUUGUUAUUCCAAGAAAAUAGAAUUUAUACUUGAAAAAUAAAUUUUCUCUACUUUCAGGUUAAACUAGAAGAGGGGGCGGCACACCUUAGAUAAAUACACUAGGGUUAUUGCCCCUCAUAUUAUAUCCCCUAAUAUGUAAUAUGAGGGGAUUUGUGCCUCUCUUGUAUUGAAUCCAAUUAUAUAUGCUUUCUAGACUUUUAACCCAAGAUUUUAUAAUUUAAUCCAAUCCAAUACAUGUUUUUCUAUUUCUUAAAAUAAAUAUUAUUUAUUUAAUUUAAAUUAAUUUAAAUUAAUUUUUCAAUUAAAUAAUUUUUCAACCUAAUUUUAAUUCUAUAAAGGCACGACAACUUUACUGUAAAAGAAUCUAUGAGAAAAUAUAUUUAAUUUUCAUAUUUACUAAUUUAUUUUAUUUUAUUUUUGAAAUUAAAUUAUUUAAUUAAAUAAUAAUUUGAAAAACUUAAAUUAAUUCUCAAGUCAUUUCUAUACUCAGUGAAAAAACACAUUCAUUUGCGAAUGUGACUCAUUCUCUAAAUGUAUCAUUUCUAUCAAUUUCUAUUCAUUUGGUUCUUUAUGCAAUUGAUUUUUGGUUUCAACGAUCUAGCGGAGGGACCAAUUGGACAUAUGUAAUUAGGGCUCAAAGAUUUUAUAAUUAAGUUUCAGCUUUUCAUCUAUUAAUUAUAAACUUAUUUAGUCACGAAGUCAUUCCACUAUAGUAUCGUGACUGAGCUCUCUCUUAUUACAUUCCAUAACAAAAGCUACUCAAUUAGUGCUCGUCUAGUGACCUUCUCAUAAGUUUGUUACCCUUAUAGGAUAUCCUUAAUUUCUUGGGGAUAAAUCCGUUCUCCUAAUAUGAUUCUAUUUUAUUUCAUAGUAACUAAUACAUCUUCUUUCAUGAAAAGUUAAUAACUAUCAAAUAGUAAUCAAGACAUUUACCACAAAGACAAAUAAACCGUGACCACAUUUACUUUUAAUAUAUCAUGUAAUGUCGAUGAGAGGAUAUCAUUUACCUAUUUUUUGGGCUAUGAAUUUCACUACAAUAAAUGAUGCUACAUAUUGCAUAAGUUGUAUACUCAACACAUCAACUUUCAUUUUCUUAUUUAUUUGAACUCAAACUUUUACUUACAUCAAAGUAUACGAGUCACUCAUACAUAGUUCAACAUCCACUCAGGAUUAAUGUAUGUUACACUAUGAACGUCACAAAUGAAUAAAUCCAUAAAGAGAUACAUGAUCUAUUCUACUUGGGUCAUUUCCGAUAUAUUAUCAGUCUAGUCAAUCACAUCUAUAUCUCUAUCUUCUGAGAAUCAUUCGCUCCGAUACUCAAGAUAAAGUAUCUCCUCAAUUGGACUUGAUAGACGACACAUUAGUCUUUCAAUUAAUUUGUUUAUUUUCGUUUAUGAGACAAAUAUUAGAACAAAUAUACAUUGGGUGUCUAAUUUGAUUAAUGCACGGAACAAAACUUGGGAUGAGCAGUUUGUUAACUUAGGAUUUACCUCUAAUGAAACUCGUUAAAUUCUGUGUUCCCCUAUCAAUUACGGUGAGCUAGGAUACGUAUGCUUGAUUGAGGGGAGCAAACUUGAGAAUACACAGUACGAGCGGCAAUAAGCUUUUGGUAGCAAAGGGACUUGAGGAAAGAAUCAUCACUAGGUAUUCGCAGAAUUACAAAGAAUUUUACUGUAAAAUUUGGAAAGUUCCGUGUCCGUUGGAACUGAAAAUUAUGUUGUGGAGACUUUUUAAGAAUUUGUGCCUACAAUGUGUAAUUUAUACAAUAGAUGUGUGGAAACUUCCCUCAUCUGCCCAUUUUGUAAUGCUGCGAUGGAAACAAUAGUGCAUGCGAUAACAAGUUGUGAUCUAGCAAGAAGGGUCAGGGUAGCGUUCAACAUUGUCUAGUAUACCUCGUAAUAAAGUGUGGAUUUUCAUGACCAAUUAGCUCGCUUAGUGAAACAAAGUAAUAUGAAUGAAUGCAAAACGAUUAUCACUAUUUACUGGGCUCUGUGGCCUGCAAGGAACAAAUGGGUGCAUGAACGAAAGAAAGAGACAAUUCAUGGAAUUUCGGGGUUUAUUCGGUCCUAUAUUACUGAGACAAAAAGUGUUGUAAGAGCCAUACCUGAGCCACGAGAUGGUUAUACAAACGAAUGAGAGCCACCUGAGGUUAAUAUGGUCAAGGUGAACUUUGAUGUGGGCUUCAGAGCCGCUUCUAAUACAUCCAGCACAAAGGUGAUUGCGGGAGAAAAUAGUGGAAUGAUUUUGAGAGCUUUUGUUCAUACAAGUUGCUUCGUUCCCCUUGUCUUUGCCGUUGAAGCCAUUGCAUGUGUGAAGGCCCUGCAAUUUGCAAAAGAUAUGGGGUUUCAGCGCUUGGUCUUGGAGGGUGACUCUCGGAUGGUAAUCAAAUGGAUAUCUAACAGCGUGGAUCAUUCUAGUGUAACUGCUUAUAUUAAUGAUACAAGGUCUCUCAACUCCCAAUUCUUAGUUUGUAAAGUCAAACAUACUUUAAGGGAUGGUAAUCGGGCGGCGCACCAGCUGGCUAAGGAAGCGUUUGACAGGGAAGAAAGCUUAUUUUGGGUGGAGGAGGCUCUGGCAAAGGUACCUGAGAUUUGAGUGGCGGAUCGAUGAUAGACUAACUCAUUAGACUAGAUGCAGGAUUAGGUUGAGAUGAGGGGUGAAGUGGGAGUAUUAGCUCAUGGGACGCUGUUGGCUGCACUCCGAUGGAACUAUAUUGAACUUAGCCGGCAUUAUUUUAUUUGGAUUUUCACUAUUUUGCAUGUGAGGGGAUUUCCUUUUAUAGCUUUUGGAGAAGGGGGUAUUUAGUCUAUUGGUUUUCUACUGAAAUGUGCAGGUGUGAAUGAUGCACAGCUGUACCCAUCCUUUUAAUGAAACUUUUAUAAUUAGAAAAAAAGGAAUUAAUAAUAUAAUUAUUACAUUAAAUAUUUGGUUAAGAAAUUAAUAAUAAAAUUAUUAUUCUUCCAUCAAAAUGAUAAUGUUAAAGAUUAGAUAUUUUGAUUCCAUUUUGAUUCAUGCUUUUAUUGAUAUUUAAUAAGUUUCAAUUUAAAACAAUCUCUUACUUUAUUCCUUAAAUCACAAACUUUUUUUAUGUAACAAAAACAAUUUUAUUAAAAUCUUGUUUUUGGUAUGUAAACUAAUUAGUAUUAAUUUAAUAUGUAAUCAAUAAAUAUAAAAAAAAGUUGAUUAAUAAAUUUAACGGAAGGAACAUAGUCCUAUAAUGGAACUGUUAAUAGAAAUAGAAUACCCAAAUAACCUUAACAAACAUUCCUAUCCUCAAAUGUAAGAUAUUUUCGUUUCUCCCAAAAUCACAAGAUUUUCUCAUAUGGAAUGUGUGAGAAAUAAAUGCAAACAUUUAAUUGUAAUGAGAAGAAGAAAAAGUGGAGCCGCCCAAAACAAAAUUCACCCAAUCACUACACCAAAGGCCAAUUGGUUUUCACUGUGUCCAACCCACCAAAGGCAAAGUUUCUGGUCUCAUAGGAUAAAAAAAUAUUCAGCCUGAUCUAAGGGGAAUAAUUAUUCUAUUCCCCUGUUAUAAUUAUUUUUUCUUUAUGAAGAAUAAAUCAAACGGCUGAGAAUGUUCCAUCAUCUUUGACCUUCGCAGAAGCUUUCUUUUUUGCUGGGAUUCUACCAGUGGACUCCAACUGUUUGACACGUGUCUGUUCUUUUCCAUAUGCGUUGCUGUUCUCAUGUCCUUGGUAGCAAAAAAGAGAACACUUAACAUCUCCCCGCUCCCUACGGUAACGCAACUGAACAGUGAAGAGCGUAGUUCCAAUAAAACCCUAUCCUACCAUCCACUCACAAAUCACCACGUAAUCCGGGAACCCUUGUUGGGUCAAACGUGGCGUUAUCAUAUUGGUUGAAGCACUGUUUCUCUGUACUUUCGAGUUCGGAAAGUUAUAAGGAAAAACAGAACCGCCUCAAGUCACAGAAGUUUCUUUGUAAAUUGUAAGGAAAGAAACCCAUAGUUUUGGGUUUUAUUAUUAUUUUAUUAUUUUAAUUUUGUUUCUCCAUCUCUCUUUCGUAGAGAAAACAGAGCUAAAACCCAGAAGAAUCAAAGAAAGAGUGGGGGAGGAAAGCAAAAAACUGAGAAAGGCGCACGCUUGAAGGGAGUCAAAUAAAAGAGAAACGGAAGAUAACAGAAUAGGCGUUGAUAGACCGUAGAAUCUAAGAAUCACACAUAAAAGUUUUGGUGGGGUUUUAUGUUUUUUUUUCCCUUCAAUUUUCUGUUUCACUUUUUUAAAUGAAUCCCCUUCCUUAACUACACUUCUUGCGUGUUUCCUGCGGUCUAUCUACUCUUAGUCUGUGUAUUCACUCACUCUUUUUUCUUCUCUCUGUUUUUUUUCUGAAUCUUUAUAAAAACUAUUGCUUUCUUUCUCUUCUUUCUGGGUUUUUUUUUAUAAUUCUUCUUGCUCUUGGUUCUUUUCCCUUUUUUGUUUUUUUUAAGUGGGAUUUCCGAGUUCUGGGCAAUUUAUUGAUGGAGGAAGAAGGUAGGGUUUCUGGUGGCAAUGGGUCAUCUUACUGGCUGGAUGCUUGUGAGGACAUAUCAUGCGACUUGAUUAGCGAUUUUGUUGAUUUCGAUGCUCCUAUAGUUCAAGACUCCGUUGACAAUACUUCCAAUCAAGAUUUCUUUGGAGGAAUUGAUCACAUUCUCGAUAGCUUCAAGAACGGCGCGGGACUUCCUCCGGUGGGAAGUAACGGUGAUAGCUCUGUCGUCAAUGGAAAUGGAAUUCACGACCCCGUUGCUGGAGAUGGAUGGUCUCCCAAUGAGCUCUCUGGGGUUUCCAAGGAUUUACCUGACAACUCAGUUCCGCCAUCUAAUGGAGUUGAAAAAAAGAUUGGAAGCAAAGGGCAGGAAAAAAGCUGCGAUGAUAGUAAUUCCAGUUUAUUUGAUUAUUCUAAUAAGGAUAAUGGAGUUCAUCAAGACGAUAAAAGGUCAUCCGAGUCGAGAGAUAGGGGUUUAGAUAGUGAAGAGAGGUGUAGCAAGAGGGCUCGUGCGAAUGGCUGCAAGAGUGAUAGGCAGUAUUCUAGUAGAGGUCAAUAUUAUCCCCGGGAUAGGGAGAGAUGUUCUGCUAGGAAAAGGGUUCGAGAUUGGGAUGAAAUUGAUCGGAGAGAUAGAGAGCAUGUUAGGAGAAGAGAACAUUAUUAUGGUGGCAAUAGGAGGGAUGGGAGAGAGAGAGAACCAAGGGGUUAUUGGGAGAGGGAUCGGUCAGGGUCCAAUGAGAUGGUUUUUAGGCUGGGUACUUGGGAAGCAGAUCGGCAAAGAGAAGGGAAGGUGGCUAAUGACAAAACUCCCGAGUGCAAUGGAAAGAUGGAGAAGAAAGUUGAGCAGCCGAAGGAAAAACUCUUGGAGGAGCAAGCUCGUCAAUAUCAAUUGGAUGUUCUUGAGCAGGCAAAAAGGAAAAACACAAUUGCAUUCCUUGAAACCGGGGCAGGGAAGACCCUCAUUGCUGUUCUCCUCAUGAAAAGUAUUUCUGAUGAUUUACAAAAGCACAACAGAAAAAUGCUCUCUGUCUUUUUGGUUCCUAAAGUUCCACUAGUUUAUCAGGUAGUCAAAUUUAUAGAAUGUCAGUGUUCUUUUAAGAUUUGAUUGGUUCUGUUGUUUCCAGGUUCAGUUUAUUAUUAUUUUUUAUUUUCCAUUUUCAGCAAGCUGAAGUUAUUCGCGAGAGAACUGGUUUCCAAGUCGGUCAUUAUUGUGGGGAGAUGGGUCAAGAUUUUUGGGAUGCUCGUAGGUGGCAGCGCGAGUUUGAAUCAAAACAGGUAGCUUGUCAAUUUCCUUUUGUGAAAAUUCCUGCUUUACUGUCAUUUGAGCUUUUCUAAUGUUCCAAGUAAUUUCCUUAUUGUAAUGCUAGUCGGCACUAAAGCACAAUGCGGUAUGGUACUUUAGUAAUUUUAAGAUAUGACAUUAUAAUGAGCGAUACAAAAGUGUUUCUGUAUCCAGUCUUUGGUAACACUUUUAGUAUACUCAGCUUUACCUAGUUAGUUUGCUCGUAAAUUACUUAGGAUAGAUUUUUGAACCAAUGUCCUUUUGCUCAAUUUUGUUGAAGGAACGGGAUGAUGUUGAUAUAGCUUUCAAAUUCUAGCAAGAUCCUUAAAUGUCUACUUGCCAGAACCGGGAUUUAGUUGAAAUAUCAGUGAUCCACCCUUUGUCAUGUCCUAAAAGGAAAAGAGGGAAAGCAUAACAAAGCUUUAAAUUGAAAUAUGGUUCUCGACCAUUAGCAAGAUCCUUAUAUGCCUAAUCUAUAGAGUUGGAACUGAGUGGAGCUAUUAAUAUUGGUAUACCUUUAUCACAUUCAGCACCCUUUAUUUCUUUUUUACUCUUUUAACAAGGUAUUAUGAGCUGAUAAAUUCUUGUCUAUCUGUAUGUAAUUGAACAAUCUUUAGUAGGCUGUCUAGCAUAGAUAUCCUCAAAUGGUUGUAUCUUUUUGAGUCUUUGGUAGCUGUUCAUUUGCAUAUAUGACUCUUGUCUAUAUGUCCAUAAGAUUCGCUCAUUUGAUGUCUUUCUUGCAGGUUUUGGUUAUGACAGCUCAAAUUCUGCUGAAUAUUUUGAGACACAGCAUAAUUAAAAUGGAAUCAAUCAAUCUCCUUAUCCUGGACGAGUGUCAUCAUGCUGUGAAGAAACAUCCGUAUUCACUGGUUAUGUCUGAAUUCUAUCAUACAACACCAAAGGAGAAGAGACCUUCUGUUUUUGGAAUGACCGCUUCUCCUGUUAACUUGAAGGGUAUAUUUUUGUUUUCUAGUAGUUGUCUUCUUCAGAUUUAUCUCUGUUUGAGACCAAGGGCGGUCUCUCUUUCAAAAUUUUCUUUCACUUGAUUAUAAGAAAGUUUCCCCCUUUAACUCAUAUUUUGAAAUGUUAUAUUCAGGUGUUUCAAGUCAAGUUGAUUGUGCUAUAAAAAUUCGUAAUCUAGAAAGCAAACUGGAUUCUGUAGUCUGUACCAUCAAAGACCGCAAGGAACUCGAGAAACAUGUGCCAAUGCCUUCAGAAGUUGUGGUAGAGUAUGACAAAGCAGCCAGUUUAUGGUCCCUCCAUGAACAAAUAAAACAAAUGGAAGCAACAGUUGAAGAAGCUGCACAAUCAAGCUCUAGAAGAAGUAAAUGGCAGUUCAUGGGAGCUAGAGAUGCAGGAGCCAAGGAAGAGCUUCACCAAGUUUAUGGUGUAUCUGAAAGAACAGAAAGUGAUGGAGCUGCUAAUUUGAUACAAAAGUUGAGGGCUGUUAAUUAUGCACUGGGUGAACUGGGCCAAUGGUGUGCUUAUAAGGUAUCAUAUGUGUUAAGUAAUUAAGGUUACCACAACUUUUUCUUAUUUUCUUGAUUGUGCAGAAAUGAUCUUGGUUGUUUCCUUUCAUUUCCUUUCUUUUUCAGGUUGCACAAUCUUUUCUGACAGCUUUGCAAAAUGAUGAGAGGGCAAACUACCAGCUUGAUGUCAAGUUUCAAGAAUCUUACCUAAACAAAGUUGUUUCUCUCUUACAAUGCCAAUUAUCAGAGGGAGCUGUUACUGAAAAAGACAUGAACAAUGCAGAAGCAGAGAACUGUAAUGCUCAAGAUGGGACCAAUACUGAUGAGAUUGAGGAAGGAGAGCUCCCUGACAGUCAUGGUGUGUCUUUUAUUUAAUUUUCUACCUUUCUUUUACUUCUUUUUUUUUUUGCCAGCACAUUUUGAGACUGACAUAUAAUUGAAAAGGAUAUCCUCAGGUUUUGAAUGUAUACGUGUGAUAACGUUAAGUAGAACAAAACAUGCAUUGUUUACUUGCUUGUGUUGCGUUUCUUGUCAUCCAUUUUAAGGAAAAUUCUUAUCAUUGUAGAUGUUUCUAAACAAAAGAUAUUUUAAAAACAUUUUGGUGUGUAUUCUCAACUCAUGUGCCGUUUUGUCAUAGUUGUCUCUGGUGGAGAGCAUGUGGAUGUGAUCAUUGGAGCGGCUGUAGCAGAUGGAAAAGUGACCCCGAAAGUACAGUCAUUGAUUAAAAUACUUCUGAAGUAUCAGCACACAGAGGAUUUUCGAGCAAUCAUCUUUGUUGAGCGAGUUGUGGCUGCUUUAGUUCUUCCUAAGGUAGAACCAUUGUCUUGCUUUAAUCAUAUUCAAUGAUAGAUUUCACCCCCUUGCUGUUUCCUAGGAAUGCUAUUUUUACUUCUUUUUGAAUGGACAGGUUUUUGCAGAGCUUCCGUCUCUGAGUUUCAUCAGGUGUGCAAGUUUAAUUGGGCACAACAAUAGUCAAGAAAUGCGGACCGGACAAAUGCAGGAUACAAUUGCUAAAUUCCGUGAUGGUCGUGUAUGUUCAUAUUCCAUGCUUCCUCUCUUCAGCUGAUGAAAGAUCUGAAUCAUGCAAAUAUAGACAUUUGAUAAAUGCUUUUACUUUCUAUUGUAGGUGACAUUGUUAGUUGCAACUAGUGUUGCUGAGGAAGGAUUGGAUAUUCGGCAAUGCAAUGUUGUCAUUCGUUUUGAUCUUGCAAAAACUGUUUUGGCAUACAUUCAGUCUAGAGGUCGUGCAAGGAAGCCUGGGUCAGAUUACAUCUUGAUGGUUGAGAGGUACUUGUUGGGUUUGGUCUUUAAUCAUUUUCUUUCUACAAAAACUGAUCCAGACAAACUAACUUUCAUGCUGUUUACAGAGGAAAUUUAUCGCAUGCUACAUUCCUAAGGAAUGCGAGGAAUAGUGAGGAGACCUUGCGGAAAGAAGCAAUUGAGAGAACCGACCUUAGUCAUUUGAAGGAUACUUCGAGGUUGAUUUCGGUGGAUAUGGUACCAGGUACUGUGUACCAGGUUGAAUCAACUGGUGCCAUUGUUAGCUUGAAUUCUGCUGUUGGACUCGUCCAUUUUUACUGCUCUCAGCUUCCUAGUGACAGGUCUUGUACUCCUUAUAAGAUAGAGACAUUUUUUUUCGUUUCUAUUGUGGUUCUUUCUUUUACUUAGGUGGCAUUGCUUUUGGCUUUUAGAUAUUCAAUACUUCGUCCCGAGUUUAUUAUGAAGAAGCAUGAGAAGCCAGGGGGUCCAACUGAAUAUUCUUGCAAGCUUCAGCUUCCCUGUAAUGCACCAUUUGAAGAGCUCGAGGGUCCCAUGUGCAGUUCUAUGCGUCUUGCCCAGCAGGCAUGCUAUGCUGUCUUGUCACCAUUUACUUGUUUAUCAAAUUUAUAUUCAGAGUAUUUCUGAUGUCCAUAACACAUGUAACAUGUAGGCUGUAUGUUUGGCUGCUUGCAAGAAGCUCCAUGAGAUGGGAGCAUUUACUGAUAUGCUCUUGCCCGACAAAGGAAGCGGGGAAGAAGCAGAGAAGGUUGACCAGAAUGAUGAAGGAGACCCACUUCCUGGAACUGCUAGGCAUAGAGAAUUCUAUCCAGAAGGUGUAGCAGAUAUACUCCAGGUUAGGCCCCUCUGUGGAUAUGUUAUAGCGGUUUGUUGCAUGCCUUGUUAGUUGUUUCUUUUCUCAUUUUUGAGAUAUUCUAGUGCAUGUGUCUAUUUUUAUGUUCUGUCACCUUUAUAAUGCUGUUGACUGGAUAGUUUCUCCCCUCCAACUUGCUGAGCUCCUCGUCUUUAUAAUUUGACCAAGUUUUCCUUUCUGUUGCUCAUACAAACCUUGUAUCAGUACUUAUAUGCUCAUCAAAGUUCAAAGUGCCUGUUCCUUCGUUUUUCUGGUUAUUAAAUAGUAGUAUGUGUUAGUGUUGGUAUACUUUUGGCUGCCGAACAGCCAUAUGAAAAGUAAUGGCCGACUUUGGAAAGUAAAUCAUAGACAUAAAAGGAGGAUCACGUCUUGCAAUCUGCCGAUGACCCUCUCCCCACCCCUUCCCCCCCCACCCCCCCACCGCCCAAAAAAAAAAAGAAGCUUGUAUUCUGGCAUAGAUUGCGUGAGAGCUAGGUUCAUUACACCAAUAUUGCCUUGUUCCUGAAGUUUUGGUUAAAAGCAGCAUAGAUUAUGAUUUUGGCAACAUUUUUCUAGGGAGCUUCAAUGCUGGUAAGACUACAGUCUAGUACGUAUGUAUUGUAAUGGGAUUUGCCUUCUUUUGUGCUUAUGAAGGUGGAGGGAUGAUGUGGAGAGGGAAAAAAACAUGUUCUUUAACAAAUAUGCCUUUUGCUUUCAAGUUUAUAAUGCUUUUGGGUCCACAGGGAGAAUGGAUUUUAUCUGGAAGAGAUGGUGUUGAUGACUCCAAAAUACAUCGUCUGUACAUGUAUACUAUCAAAUGUGUAAAUAAUGGCUCUUCAAAAGAUCCAUUCUUAACUAAAGUCUCAGAUUUUGCAGUACUUUUUGGCAAAGAGCUGGAUGCAGAGGUAAUUUCUGUUGUUUUCAGUAUGAGCAUAACUUGUAUUUGGUAAAUAGGAUUUUAAUUUCAAACAACAUUUGUCACCAUUUAGGUGUUAUCGAUGUCGGUGGAUCUAUUUAUCGUUCGAGCCAUGAUAACAAAGGCAUCUCUUGUCUUCAGGGGAUCAAUAGAUAUAACUGAAAGUCAGGUGAGUUUCUGUUUAAAUUGUUUGAAUAAUGAUUACUAUUUGAGAUGUUUUUGCUGUUUGUACUAGACUAUGCUUAUGGUAUAACUUACAAUUUUGCUUAUGUGCAGAUGGCAUCCCUUAAAAAUUUUCACGUAAGAUUGAUGAGCAUUGUAUUGGAUGUGGAUGUUGAUCCUGCCACUACUCCUUGGGAUCCUGCCAAGGCAUAUUUGUUUGUCCCUGUGGUUGGCGAUAAGUUUGUAGAUCCUAUAAAAGAAGUUGAUUGGGAUUUGGUAGAUAAUAUAAUCACUACAAAUGCGUGGAGCAAUCCCCUUCAGAGAGCUAGGCCAGAUGUUUUCCUUGGGACAAAUGAGAGGACACUUGGUGGUGACAGAAGGGAGUACGGAUUUGGGAAAUUGCGUCAUGGCCUGGCUUUUGGGCACAAACCUCAUCCUACUUAUGGUAUCAGAGGAGCUGUAGCCCCAUUUGAUGUUGUUAAAGCUACCGGGGUGGUUCCUAGUCGUGAUACGAACGAGGUACAAGGGGAUUGGACCAAAGGCAAUUUGAUAAUGGCUGAUGGUGUUGCACGUGCAGAAGAUCUUGUUGGAAGAAUAAUAACAGCCGCUCAUUCGGGGAAGAGGUUUUAUGUAGAUACAAUAUGCUAUGACAUGUCAGCAGAGACCUCCUUUCCGAGGAAAGAGGGCUAUCUUGGUCCUGUCGAGUACAGCUCAUAUGCCGAUUACUAUAAGCUGAAGUAUGAAUUUGAUAUCUCUUACCUUUAAAUUCCUAUUUUCUUCCCUACGGCUUAAUAAUAUUAGAAAUAGCAAUUGCCUGCCUAUUAAUUGCUUCUUUUUAAUGGAUGAGAUAACCUAAAUGUAUCUCAGUUGUGCGUGUAGAAUAGGAAAGCAUGUCCUACUCUGUCGAGGACAUGGUUGACUACUUUUAGGUGCUGAAUAUGUGAGCUUUUGUCACAUUUCCACCUGAUAGUAUUGGAUGUCCUUACAGAUCAAAUAUGCUUUCUGUUUCUUCCCGCACAACAAAGGUGCAUUAGGCUAUUGAGUCCUCUAUAUAUUGUUUCCAGGUAUGGUGUUGAGUUGAGCUGCAAGCAACAAGCUUUGAUAAGAGGUCGUGGUGUUUCAUACUGCAAGAAUCUCUUAUCUCCUCGAUUUGAGCACUCAGAAGGUAUUAUUUAGAAAAAUUAUGCUUGUGUCUAACAUGAGGUUUGCAUCGGUUAUGGUCAUUUUUUUGCUAAACCUAAUGUGUGUACCAUAUGAAGGUGAAUCGGAGGAGGCACUUGACAAAACAUACUACGUGUUUCUUCCGCCUGAGCUAUGUUUUGUUCAUCCACUUCCUGGAUCACUUGUUAGAGGUGCCCAGAGGUUGCCCUCUAUUAUGAGGAGGGUUGAGAGCAUGCUUCUUUCAAUUCAACUUAAGCACAUAAUACAAUUUCCGGUCCCUGCUUCAAAGGUGUGACAUUUUUCUCUGGCUGAUCAAUUCCAAGCAGCUUUCAGAUGAUUAAUAAAUUGUCUUUCUUUUAUAUGUUCAGAUUUUGGAAGCUUUGACUGCUGCUUCGUGUCAGGAGACAUUUUGCUAUGAAAGGGCUGAGCUUCUUGGGGAUGCUUACUUGAAAUGGGUAGUCAGUCGUUUUCUGUUUCUUAAAUAUCCCCAGAAACAUGAAGGUCAACUGACCAGGAUGAGACAACAAAUGGUGAGUAACAUGGUAUUGUAUCAAUAUGCAUUAAAUAAGGGACUUCAAUCAUACAUCCAAGCAGAUCGCUUUGCACCAUCUAGAUGGGCUGCUCCUGGGGUGUUGCCAGUCUUUGACGAGGAUACAAAAGAUGGUGACACGUCCUUAUUUGAUCAAGAACAUGCAACUGCUGAUGUUUUACCAGUAAAAGUACAUGGUGAUGGGUUUGAAGAUGAAGAUAUGGAAGAUGGUGAGAUUGAGAGUGACUCAAGUUCUUAUAGAGUCCUCUCUAGCAAGACCUUAGCAGAUGUGGUUGAAGCACUGAUUGGAGUUUAUUAUGUUGAAGGUGGCAAGCAUGCAGCUAACCACCUCAUGAAAUGGAUUGGGAUCCAGGUGGAGUCUGAUCCUGAUGAGAUGGACUCUAUAGUGAAGCCAUCUAAUGUUCCAGAAAGCAUACUCAGGAGUGUAAAUUUUGAGGCCUUAGAAGGUGCAUUGAAAAUCGAGUUUAAAAAUAGGGCCUUGUUGGUAGAAGCUAUUACUCAUGCUUCACGCCCAUCAUCGGGAGUAUCCUGCUACCAGCGUUUGGAGUUUGUUGGUGAUGCAGUCUUGGAUCAUCUUAUCACAAGACAUUUGUUUUUUACAUACACCAAUUUGCCUCCAGGUCGCUUGACUGAUUUGCGUGCUGCUGCCGUAAACAAUGAAAACUUUGCACGUGUUGCAGUAAAGCACCUGUUGCAUGUGCACCUUCGGCAUGGAUCAAGUGCCCUUGAGAAACAGGUUUGCUAUCUGAUUCCUUCACUUUUGCUUGUUUAAUGUGAAGGUGCCAGUUUAACCCAUAUUCUGUUCUGCACAUGGGUGGGUUCCCUCUGACUUGGUACCCUUGGCUUCUAUUUCAGAUUCGGGACUUCGUGAAGGAAGUUCAGGAUGAGUUAUUAAAGCCAGGUUUCAACUCUUUUGGAUUGGGAGAUUGCAAAGCACCAAAAGUUCUUGGAGAUAUUGUUGAAUCCAUUGCUGGUGCCAUUUUUCUCGACAGUGGACGUGACACUGCAGUUGUCUGGAGGGUUAGUUUGGGACUGACUUUUCUUACUGCUAUAUGUAUACACACGCUAACAAGACAAUCUGAUAAGAGAACAAAAUGAUCUUGCUUUCCAGGUUUUUCAACCUCUGUUGCAUCCCAUGGUGACUCCAGAGACAUUGCCGAUGCAUCCUGUCCGGGAACUACAAGAACGAUGCCAACAACAAGCUGAAGGCUUGGAAUACAAAGCCAGUCGAAGUGGCAAUUUGGCCACUGUGGAGGUUUUCAUUGAUGGGGUCCAGGUUGGAGUUGCUCAGAAUCCCCAAAAGAAGAUGGCACAGAAACUAGCUGCAAGGAAUGCACUUGCUGUUCUGAAGGAGAAAGAAACAGCUGAAGCUAAGGAGAACUGUGAGGAGAAUGGGAAAAAGAAGAAGAAUGGCAACCAGACAUUUACCAGACAAACAUUGAAUGAUAUCUGCCUGCGUCGAAACUGGCCUAUGCCCUUCUAUCGGUGAGAAAUUACAGUUGGUACCUUUUCUUCCUCUUAUAUUUGGACAGCAACAUGCAACUGAUCUGAUGCGUCAUCUUUAGGUGUGUGAAUGAAGGGGGCCCUGCCCAUGCAAAGAGAUUUACUUUUGCUGUCAAGGUUAACACCACUGACAGGGGGUGGACCGAUGAAUGCAUAGGUGAGCCAAUGCCUAGUGUUAAGAAGGCCAAGGACUCAGCCGCUGUGCUUCUCUUGGAACUUUUAAACAAAUGGUAUUCAUGAUAGACAAUAUUGAGGACAAUGAUUAUUUUGGUACUUAGUUUCCCAACACUAUUUUUUCAAUAGCCCCCUUAUUGGUCGUGGGGUGCAUCACAAUUCUUAUAAUUUUUUGUCAUUAAUUAACGUUAUGCUUUUGGCCAAAGGAAAAUAUUAUAAGUAAAUGGAUUUAUAAUUUUGCAUGAAUUGUUGAUUUCAAAUGUAAUUGGGGAACAGGACCAGAACAUACACAGUUGAAUGAGAUAAAGAGACAUUUGUCUUCUUCUUUUUUUUUCAUUCUCGUUGACUGUUCGCUACAUUCUAUGAAUGUGUUUGAUUUGAAGUUGAAUUGUAGCACCAAAAACAGUUGAACAUAGAAGCAUUUCUUGAAUAUGUCUCGGUUGCUUUUGGAAAGAUUACAAGGUGUGCAAGGAGGAAAACAUGUGUAAAAUGAGCGAUGAAGUGAUGAUAAUAACAAAAAUCUCAAAUCGCAUUCUAGUAAUGUCAUAAAUUCCAUAUAUAAUCUCUUCCCGACAACAAAGUUUUUAAUCCAACGGGUAAUAAUAAUCGUACAGAAUCACAGCUAAAAAGGGAGUAUCAAAGGAGUUCAAUUCAUAUCCAAAUGCUGUCGAUAAAUGUUUUAUUUAGUAUGUGGUGCAUUUCCUCCCAUGAUGGAAGAUUGCCCUUUUUCAGCCUAUCGCCUCAGGGUUUGCAUAAUGUACUCGGCAUAAAGAUCCCUGCAACAGAUCAACACAAGAACCUCAGUAGAAGCAUAACAAAAAUUAUUAAUAAUGGAGACCAAGGAUGUCGGAACCAAAGGGGGAAAUGUCCGUUAGCUUUGGACAUGAAUUCCCUCUAUUAUUAUGUAUACCCAUCCUUGGGAGGUAUAAUAUAGUUCUAGGCAUACAUUGAAUACUGGACAGCUUCAACGGCAGCGGUUGCUGGUAAAAAUUUGUCGACUGCAACCUCCUUGUUCUCAUUUUUCUUGUCUGUGCUGUGUUAAGAAAGCGGUAUUCCUUGCAUCAGGGAACAAACUUGAACAUUCUUUUGAUAAAUAGCUCAAAUAUCGAGGAAUGAGUUUUAUAAUUUGAUAUUGAAAAGGAUACAGUCUUCAAAGAAACGACGGAUCUCAGUCAGGCGGUGAGGGGGAAGAUCUUUGAUGUCGGUGUAAUGCUUGUACUCAGGAUCAUCAACACAAACUGCAAUGAUCUUGUCAUCUUUCUCCCCCUAGGUAAGAAUUAUGAAGCAGAUAUCAGACAAACUGAAGGGAAGAAGUGUCAAAAGGUUAACCUGAAACUACAAUGAAAUACCUGGUCAAUCAUUGGCAUUAGUCCAAGGGCUCUGGCUCGCAGAAAACAUCCAGGAAGAACAGGCUCCUAUUUGAAGAAACAACAUAAUUUGAGUACUUCUAGAUCACUGUUAAUAUGCAGCUCAAAGAUGAACUCGAUGAAAUGCCUUAAAAGCAAUGCGGGUGGUUCAGAGUGCAUAGAGGAAGAAGGCUAACGGAACUGGGGUGGUAGAAGUAAUGGUCAACAAUAGAACACAUAAGAGGCUUUUAUAGUGAAUAAAUUAAUCGUACAUGUUUACAUUCAGGAAUAAGUUAUUGGGAAUUUUACUAGUGUUUCACCUGCAUGAUAACCAAACAAUCCAAGGGAUCAUUGUCUUCACAAAGUGUGCGAGGGAUGAAACCAUAGUUAUGAGGGUAGACCACUGAUGAAUAUAAAACUCGAUCAACCUGAUAUUCAUGUUGACAGUAAGAAAACAUUACAAUAUGGAGCCUGUAACAGUGGCAAACUUUCUAAUAAACAUGACUAAACUGGAAUUCAUUGGAAGAAAGGGAAAGCCUUGACAUAGUAGCUCAGGAACAUGUACCAGGAACUACUAUCUUUAAAGAUGCAAAACUUUUCAUACCUUAAUCAAUCCUGUCUUCUUGUCAAGUUCAUACUUGACCUUACUACCUUUUGGUAUCUCAACAACCUGUAUGGUUGAACAAGAAAUUCAAUAAGCAAACAAUUAGCAGUGACUGGAGGUUAGACAUUUCGGCUUUAAUAUGUGAAAUGUUUUCUUGGUACCUUAAGAAUGUUCCUCAAAUAGGAAAACCAGGGUAAGUUUAGGUGAAACUAAUAAAUUAAUGAAUGUUAUUGAUAUAUGUAAAGCAUGCUAAAUUAUGUUUAUUUCUCAGUUUAUUUAAAACCAUAAAUGUUCUAUGAACAAGUUCAGACUGAUAAAAUUAGAAAGAAAUCAUACACAGUUAAAAAUUGCUGGAGCUCCAGGUCCUGAACACAAUAUUUUUGAAACAGGUCAGUUCCCAAAAUCUGAUUAUUCUCUCGGACAAUAUUAGCAACAACAUCAAAUCAGAAUAUUCACUCAUUAGAUAGGGUACCAAUCUCAAGAUCAUGCCAAGGAUGUGCAGCAACUGAUCUCCGUGACAUAGACGAAAGAAUCCUCUCGUUCAGACGGGGUGGUUUGCGUGGAGUUUCCAGUACCUUAGCUUCAUUUUUAUCUUCUUCACUCAUCUUUUCCACAACAAUAAAUUGCAUCAACAUUCAAUCAAAACCCAGUAAUUAUGUUAGUUUAUUCAUCAGUUGUAAUUGAUCCAGUUAUACGGGAAUUUAUAAUAGCCACAAGAUGCAUAAAAGGAAAGGCUGCUAAGUGUUUGGAAGACUAAGUCUAGGAUCUGACUGGUAACAGAAUUUCCAAAAAACAAAACUAUAUGUUGUUCCAUUUCUCAGAUAAUGAAUGCCAUGCAAGUGACCAGAUUCUAUUGCAAAAUUUGGCACAAACAUUAGCUACCAUGAUAUUCAAGAGUAAGGCAAUAAACUAAAUAAUAGAUCGACAUCUCAAUCCUAAGUUCUUAGCCCAAUACUACAUGCUCUCUUAAUAGUCAAACAAUUUUACUCAACUCUCAUUAAACAACCAAAAUUGAAGAAAAAUGACAUAACUGAUCAAUUACACUCUGGUCUAAUGGCACACAUGUCUUCUCAUAACCGGAUCGGCUACUAGGGUCAGGUGUUUAUGCUUAUUCAUUACUAUAUUAUAAAAGAUGGUUACUUCAUAGUACUAUUUAUCUGUAUCAAGGUCGCUGCAACAAUCAAGUACAAACAUGAAUUAACCAUAAAAAGCGAGUUGGUUAAAUAUCUAGUUCUUCAGCAAUCUCUUUCCUCAAAUAGUAAAACUAAAAAACAAAAACGACAGCUUUUUAAUGCUUUACAUCUAUGCUGAACCAAAAGUCCGAUUCUUGUUCAUAAGUUCUAGUAAAGGAUUCAAUAAGAUCCUAUGGAACUUGUGCCUUUGCACUUAAACCCAGAAACGAAACGGCCAUGAAACGGGAAUUGAUAAAGUGUAAACGAGCGAUCUAUAAAAAAUAGACAAAAACAAUGAAAAGGGUUUCCAUUAGUGAUCCAAAACGGUGGCAUAAAGUGAAAGAAAGCAUACCUUGGUUUGUUGUGGUUUAAGAGUGCACGCACAGAAAAAGAAAGAAAGAAGAAGCUUUUGAUUAUUGAGGGAAGAGAAAUAGGAAGGGAUGCAAUGAGCUUGAAGCUGCGCUUGAUGUUAUAGGUAAAAUAUUUAUAGAAUGGAGUCUUCAAAGGAUGUUAAAGAAUGGGAGAAAAUAAGUUGUCCCUUGAUUGUAGGCAGUGGCUCGGUUCUGCUGCUGACAAAAGAGAUUUUGUGUCAACUAUUACCAUAUAUCUAUUUUCGUCAUUUACAUUCAAAAACUUUUAUUUUAGUUAUUAAUAUUAUCAAAAUUUAAUAUUUUAGUAGUUUAAAUUAUAUAAAUGGAGUGUAGAUAUGGAUAUUUUUAUUGAUAUAAUAAUAACUUUAGUCUUUUAAUAUUUACAAACUCUAUUAAUUUUGUGUUAAUUUUAAAAAAUACAACAAUUUUAACCCUUAAUUUUACAUAUUAUCUCAAUUUAGUCUUUAUUCUUAAAAAUUCAAAACUAAAAACCUCAAAAAAUUAUUUUAAAAGUUCAUUUUCUAAUAAAAAUAUAUAUAAAACUAUAAAAAUAUUUAUCUAAUUUUUUUAUGAUUAUUUAACAUGACAUUUAUUUAUUAAAUAAAACUUUUAUAAAUAAAACAAUUUAAGAGGAAAAAAUCUUGAAAAAGACUUAAGUAGAAUCAAUUCUUUUUAAUAUUAACUACCACCACCGUAUUCAAAUUAGGUAAAAUACUAUGGCUUGAGUUUGAAAAGAAUAAUAAGUGAUGUCUUUAGGUUAUUACAUUUGAGUUUGUGCUUGAAGGCAAGUAUCGUUAGGGAUAUAUGAGUAGGUGGAAGGUCAUGCUGACAACUACACAAUUGAUUUCUAAUUUGAUAGCAAGAUGAUGAAGGAUGCGGAAAGCGAAGAGUUUAGAGUAAGAGUUAUUGGUGCUGGUGGUUGUAGGUGAAGGCAGUGCCCAACACUAGAUAAAUUUGACGAGAAUUAAUGAACAACACUAGAUAAACAAAUUAUUAUUUAUAAAAUAAAACUAAAAAAGUUUGAAUUUGGUUUAAGUAUUGCUUACGGGUUUUUAAAAAAUACUUUAUUUAUAAAAUUAUUAUUUUAAUAAAUAAAUUUCAUGUUAGAAAAAGAAAAACAUCGAGUAUUCAUUUAUUUAUAAUUUUUCUUUUUAUACGAAUUUUUAUAAUUUUAUAUGUAUUUUUAUUAAAUCUUAUGUAUUUUAAUCAAAAAAUGAACUUUAAAAUAAUAUUUAUUUUUUAAAGUUUCUAUUUUUGAUUAUUUUAAGAAUCAAGAUUAAAUUGAAAUAACAUGUAAAGCUGAUGGUUAAAUUUGUUUUAGAAUUAGAACUAAAUUGAUAGAACAUGUAAACAUUAGAGGGCUAAAUUUAUUAUAUGCUAAUGAAAAAAUAGUCACAUCAGCACUUUGUUAGUGAUUUAACGGAUAAGCGACCAAAAUAUUAAAUUUUGAUAAUGCUAGUGAUUGAAAUAAAAAAAAAAUUUAAACUUGAGUGAUCAAAUCAUAAACACACUAAUAGUUGAGUGGUUAUUAUAUAGUUUACCCUAGAAUCUAUUCCACUACUAUAAAAGUAUAAAAUAUUGGUAAAACACAACUACCUUGAGGUUUAGUAUAACUAAUUAGACUUAUUCAUAGAUCGGACCACCCAUUAGGUUCAAAUGCCUACUUGAAAAAUGAGAGGGUUUAGACAAAAAUUCGAAGCCUGAAAAAUAGACUUGGGUAAAAUUUAAGGGCCGUUUUCUAUAUGGGCCAAGUCUUAGGUAAGAUUUUUUGCUCGAGCUCGACUCGACCCUGCCCGAAUAUAUUAUGUUAUAAAAAUUAAUUAUAUAUAUUAAAUAAUAAUUAUUUAUAUUAAAUUACUAACCCAAUAACAAUUGAACUCAUUAUCCAAAACCUAAAAAUAAAACUUACCCAACUAAAUAACCCAACCCAAAAUAUAAAAUUUUAAAAAAUAUAUUUAAUACAAUAAAAUAUUUAUUAUAUUUAUUUGUGUUUUGUAAUAUAAUAAAACAUUUAUUGUAUUUAUGGUAGUUUUUUUAAUAUAAAUAUUUUUAAUGUGUUAGAAAAUUUUAUUUUAGAGUUUUUUAGUGAUUUUAGUAUAUUUAAAAAAUAUUUUUAAAUAAAAAACUAAUCUAAAAAAAAGUCAAAUAUGGGUAGAUUGGAUCGGACCCGGAUUUACCUUCCUUAAAUUGGGUUGGGCUUGAACAAAAGCGUAAGCCCAUUUUUUAAGUUGGACCCAAAAUUGAAAAAUUAAUCUAGAUACCUUGUAUGGACUUGACCUAGCCCGACAUAUGAGCACCUCUAAAAACAAUUUUAUUUACCUUCAAAUAUUUUUUUGCGUAUAUAAUUUUUCUAAAUAAUAAUAAAAUCUUUGUAACUAUUAUCAUGUUUUUAUUAUAUUCGUUAUUUUUAAUUAAAUAAUAAAAAUUAAUUAAUUUAAGAUUAUACCAAAGUACCAUAAAAUUAAAGGGUAAAUUAUACCCAAGUUCACUGAAUUAUUAAUAAGUUUACACUUUGUUCACUUAACUUCAAAAAAAUUAUAAAAUGAAAACUGAAUUAUUCAAAAGUUUUCAUUUAAAUUACUAAAGUCAAGUCUUUAAGGAUGAUUGAUAUGGUCGUUAAAUUAUUGUUUAUCAUAAAUAAUAUAAUAUAUAUUAACUACGCGAUUUCAACCUGGCUUAUUAAUAAAAAUACUUUGGCUUUUAAAUCCUUUAUCAUUUCUCCUUCUAAGAAAAUUGAUUAUAAGGUUUUUUCUUUCUAAGUUUUCUUUAGAAUCUCUCACUUGUACUCUACAAAAAUGCGACGAUUAAUGGAAGUUGUAAUGACUUAUUUGUAUGAGUUAUUAGAUAAUGAAAUCUACAUAAAAAAUCUUUGAAGAACUUAAGAUGCAUGAUGCAUAUAAUUAAAAACCUCAACAACCAUACUCUAUUAAAUUAUAAAGAUUCUUGUAUGGAUUAAAGCAAUCUUGAUGUAUGUGGUAUAAUCGUUUGAGUGAACAUUUAUGAAAAAAUGGAUAUGAAAAUUAUGUUGUUUGUCCUUAUGUUUUUAUCAAGAAAAUAAACUUUAGGUUUGUUAUAAUUGCAACUUAUGUUGAUGACUUAAACAUAGUAAGGAUUCCAGAAGAGAUCUUUGCACCUCUAACUAUUGAAAUAAGGAAUUUAAAAUGAAAGAUGUAAAAUAAUUUUUUGUCUUGGAUUUCAUGUUGAACAUUUAGCAAGUAAAAUAUUUCUUCAUUAAUCAACUUAUAUAAAAAGGUAAUUGAAAUAUUUGAACAUGGAUAAGUUUUAUCCAUUAAACUCUCAUAUAGUUGUUCUUUCGCUUGAUGUUGAAAAAGAUUUGUUUCAUUCACAAGAAGAUGGUGUGAAAAGUUCUUGAUCUUGAAGUAUUGUACUAGAAUAGAUAUAGCCUUUAUGGUCAAUUUACUUGCAAGAUCUAGUUCUGCACCAACACAAACAUAUCAUAAUGGAGUGAAACAUGUUAUUCAUUAUCUUCAUUACACAUUUGAUAUGAGUUUGUUUUUCUUAUAUGGAGUAAAAUCAAAAUCGAUGAGGUAUGUGUUGGAAAUUGUAGAUUGCAAAUUAAUUAUUCAUGAGCACUAUUCAAAUUAAAAAGUGAUGAUUUGUCAUCUAAUGGAUACAUUUCCAUGGGACAUGUUUUUUCUAAGAAGUAUGUCCAGCUAAGGGUUGUGGCUCUUCAAAAUAGUAUCCAUUGAGUGCAUAUAAAUAGAGGGACUAUGGUGUUCACAAAGUACAUUACAAUCAAUUCAAUUUUAGAAAUUAGAGUAAGAGUUAGAGAAUUCCUCGAUUUUCUAGAGUUAGAGAAUUUCUCGAUUUUGCUAAUAAAAGGAAAUUCAAAAGCUUCACUAUAUCCCAAUAGGACCUCUGUCUUAACCCUCUAGCAACUUUGUGCGGGGGCAAAUAAUUCUUUUUGGAAAGCAUUACCCGCGCCUCGAAGUCUACUGUUUAAUUCCAUAUAGUCUCCAGAUCUAUCGUCUCCACUCAAUAUCUCCAAUAGUAUGUUGAUACUAGAUAUCUUUUUUAUCAUUGUAAAGCUUUAUCACAAACAAGUUAUGUUUUCACAUGUAGUGAUACUACUAUUUCAUGGAAAUUUGUAAAGCAAAGAGUCACUGCCACAUUAAGAAACCAUUCAAAAUUUUGGCUCUUUAUGAAGAAAGUCACAAAAAUGUUUAGUUACAGACAACAAUUCAACAUAUCAAAAAAGUGUGUAGAUUGUUUGUUGAUAAUGGCAAGCCAACAAUAUUGCAACAUGCAUUUCACAAAUUAAAAGUGAUUGUGUAAAGGAUGAUAGAACUAAAAAUAUCUCGAAAUUCACUCAAUUGAUAACCCAGUAGAUCAGUUCAUAAAAGCAUUGUCAACUUCAAUUUUCAAGAAGCAUGUAUGUAAUAGCUUGAUUUUCAGUAGUGUUGGAAAUCGUAGUUCGAGACCACCAAAUCCGGUGAAUAAGCUCGUAAAUUUUAUUAUUUAAUAUUUACGAGUCAAAUAUGAUUUUUAAAAAAAUUUUAAAUUAAUAAUUUAUGUAUUAUAAUGAAUUAUUAGAUUCGAGUGAUAAAACCCUAGUUCAAGUGGUUUUGAAAAAUGAGGUAUCAGGACCUCGUUUCUAUAAACCGAGCCGUAAAUAUUUUUAUAAAUAUUUACGGAGUGUCAUUAAGGUGGUAUUAAAGUUUUGUUGAAAAAUUUUAACGUUUUGAUAGUGAAUUAAGAGUAAUUAGGUAUAAAGACUAAAUUGCAUAAAGGGUGAAAGUUGAGUUAUAGAUUAAAGAAAAAUUAAAGGGACUAAAGAAGCAAUUAUGCCAUUGUUUCUUUAUGAGGCGGCAUAAGGUGGAUUUUUAUGAAUUUAUUAUAUAUUAUAAAAUAAACCUUAAGUGUUAAGUAUAUAUUAUUAUAUAUUAAUAUAUAAUAAAAUAAAGUAAUAAUAAUAAUAAUAAUAAUAAUAAUAAUAAUAAUAAAGAAUUAAAAAGAAACAAAGCAAAAACGAAACAGAAGGAAAAAGAAAGAAAAAAAGAAAAAGAAAAGGGAGAAAGAAGGAGACGAAAGCCUUAAGGGUUUCAAAGUUCCAAGUUCAAUUGGUUACUCAAUUUAGUUCUUUUUCUUAUAAUUUUUAUGUUUUUGAGAUUGUUACAAUUAGGUCUAACUAAACAUUACUUUUAUUUUUUUAUUUUGUUAAAUAUUUUGGAUGUUGUCAUUGAUGAAUAUAUAUGAUUUUUUAUGUUAAAUGAUUAAUUUGAGAUAUUAGUUGUUAAUUAAAAGUAAUUUGUUAAGUGAUUUUGAUGAAUUUUUCAAUUAAGGAUUAAUUUGUUAAGUUAGUAAAAAUACAAGGGUUGUUGUGAAAUUAUUGCAAAAAUGGACUGUAUUGAAUGCCAUGAAUAUUAAGCUAGCAUGAGUUUGCAUUAAAAAUGGUUAAUUUUCAUGUUUUGGGUUUAGGGACUAAAUUGAAUUAAAAGUAAAACUUUAGAGGAAAUUUUGUAAAAAUGUCAAAAAAGACCAAAUUGCAUGAAAUAAAUUUUUUUAUCGUCUAAAUUAAUAUAUUGAAUGAAAUUAUUAAUUUAGAUCAAGAUCGAGUAGAAAAUCGAGGAAAAUAGAAACUUUUCAAAAUGCCCCUGAACUUUGGUAUUUCUGCAAUUUAGCUAGGUAAGUUCGUGUAAUUAAAUUGUAUAUUUAUAUGUUUUAAAUUGAAUGUUGUGUAUGUGAUUUGUGUAAAUUGCCAUGUAUGAAAUUAAUCGCAUAUCCGACGAUGAUCGACAAAUAUUAAAUCCUGUUUGAAUAAAUGAAAUUCGAUGGAUAUCGGGUUCCCGAAUUGGUUGUGGUCCUGCAUGUGUUGCAGACACACCACAGUUUGAAAGAGCGUCCCGUUAUUAGAUCUUAUGAGCUUCUCGUUAAUAUCUCUUCAAAGCAUCUCGAUUGGUUGUGGUCAUGUAUGUGUUGUGGACACACCGCAACUCUUAUGAGCGUCUCGAUAUAUGGCUUUUCAGAGCUUUCCGAUGAAAAGCACUUUCACGAGCUUCCUGAAAUAUGGCUCGUUGGAGCUUCCCGUUAUUGGCUCGCUUGAACUUCCCGAUAUUGGCUCGUAUGAGCUUCCCGUUAAUGGCUCUUCAGAGCUUCCCGUUAUACAACUCACAUGAGCUUCCCGUUAUAUGGCUCGAAAAAGCUUCCCAUUUAUGUGUUCAUAUGAGCAUUCCCGAAUAUAAAUUGACAGAUUUCAAAUUUGUACACUUCGUGUGUACUACCUGCGUAUUCAUCGAUAUUUUAAAUGAUUCAACGGGCAAAGUUCUGACAUAAGACAACAUGAAAUUGAAAUGUACUAUACCAGUAUAUACCCGAAAUAUAUGGAAUUGAUAUAUGAAUACAAGAUGUGGAAAGUUUAUGAACAUGGAAAUUUGAUUAUUAUUGAGCUCAUACAUGUGUCUUGAUAUUUAUACGAAAUACAUGGAAAUGAUGGUACACGAUAUAUUGAUAUAAUGAAAUGAAUGAUAUAUGAUUAUGAAGAAACAAUAAGAUAAUGAUAUGUAUCACGAUAUGUACAUAUAUGAAUAUUUUUGAUAUGACGAUACAAGGAAAUUAUGUAAGUUGAGACGAGUAAUAAACUCAGGUGUGACAUGUUGAGAAAAUAAGAUUAUCAAUGUUGAAUUUAUAUGAAAUAUGUUUAAAUACACUAACAAGUGUUGUUGUUUGAUGCUUAGGCAAGUGUCAAGCUAUUGGUUAAAUGGUAAUAUGUUUAUUUAUAUGAUGCAUUUAAAGGGUAAGUACCCAAAUGAAAAUAUGCUAGUGCUCAUGAAAGAGUGGUAAGGUUUAAGUUCUGCAAUUUCUUAUGAAAUGACUUAUCAUGUGAUUAAUUCGAAAAAGGCUAUGUUUAAAUGCACUAGCUUGUGGCUAUGGUUGAAUGAUAUGUUUAUGACUGGUGUGUUAUGCAUAUGGAAUGAGUGUGGAAAGUAAAGAAAUGCAAAUGAAAAUAAAGAAAUUUGGAAGAGUUAAAGUUGUUUAAAAUCCUACUAUGCUAGGAAUAAUGUAUAAGUGAUGUUGUGGAUUUAUUCACCUUGUGAGUUAUUGAAUAUAACUUCACGAGUAUUGCAGUGUCAAUAUUAGAUUAUUCUUGAUAUGUAUAAAUUUCAUAUCUGAAAUGAAUUGAUAUGAUUAAAGUUUAUACGAGCUUACUAAACAUUCAUUGCUUACAUAGUUGUUUUCCUUUACUUUUCAGAUUAUCGAAAGCUCGAUCUGGUUGGAAGCUUGUCGGAGAUAUACAACACUAUCCAACAGUUUUAUCAGUACUUUCGGAUGUUUUAAUUUUGGUUAUAAUGACAUGUAUAGGUAUUCUGGUUAAUGUUGGCCUACAUGUGUUUUGUUAAAAUUAGUUACUUAUUUGGCUUGUGUGUUGGCACAUUUUGGUUUGGUGCAUAUUUGCCUUAUAUGAUUGAUGUGUGAUUUGGUUUAUGAUUGUAUGAUAAAAGGGUAAAAUGUUAGCUAAAAGUGCAAUUAUAUACAUGUGUUUUGGGAUGUGAUGAAUUGAUUAGGAAUCGGUACCUUAAUAUAUAAGGUAUAAAUAUAUUUAAAUAUAUUAGUAUAUAAAAUACAUUUUGACACCAGAUGGUAGGGUUUUUUACAAAAAUAAUAUAAAAAUAAAAAAUUACUAAAAUGUUAUAACUUUUUUUAUUUACCAAAAAAUAUAUAAUUUUUUUAUUUACCAAAAUAUAUAAAAAAACAAAAAAAAAACAGAAAAAAAAACCUGAACUGAUUUGACAACUCCCUGGGUGGAGGGAAGCAGGUUGGCGGCACCAAACAAGGGAAGCAGGUUGGCGGCACCAGUGGAGGGAACCAGGUUGGCGGCAACACCCUUGAAUUUAAGGUGGUCGGUUGGUGGGGGGAAGAAGGAGAGGGGAAGAAGAAGAAAGAAAGGAAGAAAGAAAAAGAAGGAAAAGGAAAGGAGAGGAAAGAAAGAAAAAGAAGGAAAGAAAAGGACAGGGGAGGAAAGAAAGAAAAAUAAGGCGUUUGAAAUUAUUAAUAUUAUAUCGAAAAUAGAGGCAUAUAACCUUAAAUUAAGCUUUAAUAUAAUGCAACUUUAAAAUAAUUAAAUUGGUAAAAAGAAAUUGAACAAUAAGCACAAUAACUAAAACUAGAGUAAUUAAAUUAAAAUAAUUAAAUUGAUACAAAAAAGUACAAACGUGUUAAUGUACAAACAUGUGCCAUACACCCCUAAAAUUGAUGGUUCGAUGGUGUAGUCCUAGGGGUAUACCUAUUCGGAGGUCGACGGUCACGUUCUGGGUGCCCGCGACGACCGACAUUAUCAUUUGGCGCAGGUGGUGGUGUAGUAAAAAUAGGGAGGAAAUCAUUUUGAGCAGGUCCCUCGUUCGACAGCGAUGAACUUGAUGCACCUGAGGGAGUCCUAUAAUGCUGCGGAUAUGGGCAGGGCGAGUAGGAUCCGAAUAGUUCAAAGUCGUAUGCAUAUUCUGGCCCUGAGAAGCUCGGCAAAUUGUUAGUGCCUGACAAAUCCGGAUGAUAGCUAUCUGAACCGACAAAUCCAGAUUGCUUCGGAUCUGGCUGGGGCUCCUGCUCGGGCUCCGAUGGUUCUGGAGAAUAAUAUGCCAUGGGAUCCAGAUCAUGCUGGGCCGCUGUGGCCGAUCCCCCAUGUCGCUGCAUGUGCGGGGGGAUUACAAUUGACUGGACUCCGUAUAAAUAUGGCUUCCCGCAACUAUAGUACCAUUGCAUAUACUCUACUGAUGGUUGCGAGUCGGUAGCCAUAACCAUCUGAGGUCUUCGACGAAAUCGAUCGUUCCACAGCGCCACAAAUUUUCGGUGCUUAAUUCCCCAAUCUAUCAUCGAUUUUCCUUUCUUAUUCUUGCCGUGAACUUCUCCCACCUCACACGGCGGAUCCGGGAUAGGUUGGAUAAAGCCAAACUGCCGUAGCACCCGAUCCCCGUGAUACCACUCGACCAUGUUGAAAUUUAUAAUUGGUGCGUUAGUGCACCAUAUGUACGAAUGCACGUACGCAGACGAGGGUACCACGGCGGUAAUUUCUGGCGUUCGGUACGGCGUCCAUAUAAACUGCAUGAUUAAUAACAUGGUUAUAAUUAGCCAUAACGUGUGCGUAAGAUAUAGAAAGUAAGAUGUCAUGAAUAUUAGAAUAGCAUGAAUAUUAGAAUAGCAUCUUACCCCAUCCCGGGCAUAUUGUUCAAUCAUGAGGCGGUAUAGCGGGACAUUGUACGACUUCCCGAUACCCGGACGAGCAGUCCACCUACAAAAAACAAAUAUAGCGUUUAGAGUUGGUAACAUUAGUCAAUAUAUUAUGACUACAAAUAAUGAGAAGUUAUAUUUUAUCACCUGUUCAGCAGUGGAUAAACAUACGGUUGGUGUCUAACCGAUGCCAAAAAUGGCAUCCGAUACAGCGCCCAGAACUGCAGCAGUGAGAGGCAUCCGCCAAUGUCGCGAACUUUCAGAUCUGUCGCUCGAAAAAGCUCUCGAUACAAGACUGCUAGCAAGGCUGAGCCCCAGCUAUGGGAGCUAACACUGGACAAGUCAGCUAACAGGGGCAAGUACAUCAAAUUCACCUUGUCGUUGCUUGCAUCAGGUAUGAUUUCUCCCCCUAUGAUAUGCAUGAUGUACGCUCGAGCAGCGCACAUCAACUCGCCUUCAGUGGCUGUCGCUGAUAAUUGUCCAUACUUGGCUUUCAGCCAUGUAAAUGGUAAGCCCGAAAAAUAUGACUCACCGUCCCCUGGUGAGUCUCCUAGAAGCUGAUAGCAAAGUGCAUCCGGAUCAGUAAAUGCAGAUAAUCCCGUUACGGGACUCCCGUCAAUUGGGAGCCCAAGCUGCAACGCUACAUCCUCCAAGGUCACCGUGCACUCCCCGCACGGAAAAUGAAAAGUGUGGGUCUUCGGGCGCCACCGCUCCACUAGCGCAGAUAAUAAAUCAAAGCGCAAGACGGUGUACCGGAUCUGUGCUACGGACCCAAAUCUGGCUAGCUCUAAGUACGGCAUCAACCGUGCAUCUGGAGUAUUCUUCAAAACACUCACACGGCCCCUUAAAACUCGGUACGAGUCCUGAUAGUGUUAAAUUACAGAAAAAUUUUACGAUAACAUUAUUUCUUUGUACGUCUAUCCUUUUUAAAUAAAUAGAACCCAUGAUAAAUAAAUAAUAAACCAUACCGCGUUAUUAGCCGCAUCAGAUAUGUGGCUUUUGGUGCUAAUCAAUGAAGCCAUUGCGAUGCCUGCAAGUUAAAAAAAAAGUUAGUAAAAAACUCUUACUUCGGCCAUUUGUUCGUAUUUUUUUCUCCGCAUUUUAUUACUUUAAAAAAUAUCUUCAUUUCUAAUUUUAUAAUUUUACAUAAUGUUUUAAAUUUAUUAAUUUAGUGUGUUUUUAAAAUUAAUUUAGUGUAAAAAAAUCAUUAUCCCUGCCAUUUACUCGUAUUAUUUAGUGUAUUUAGUGUAAAAUUAAUUUAU